UGUUGUUAUACUAAACUUUUAUAUAAGGCUUUAUGUCAUGUGCUCAUGUGGACAUCUCUUCAAAGGUGCAGAGUCGCCUGCCUUGGAGGAUAUAUAGAAGCUCUCAAUGCAUACCUUAUAUGCUCAUCUCCACUACCAUAUAUUAUAUAAUAUAUCCAUACUUUCAAGGCUUAAAGAAUGUCAAGAGUUAAUGUAGUCAAUUAUAGACUCAUCUUUCUACUGUUUGGUAUUUGUGGACUCCAUUACACUUAUCGCUGGUUGGGAAAAAUAAUUGUCUUCUCGCUUCAUUUGAUCCCAACCGUCAAUAGGCUCAGGCUCAAGAUUCAUGCACCAAUCAAAAGCACACAUUUGGAGGGAAUACACAAAUUAUUUGACUAGGAGGUCACCCUUGUGCUAGCAUUAUUGUAUGUUUGGAUGAAUUAGGCAUUGCAUUGCUUUGGAAUUCCCUUUCUAUCAAAUUAUUGAAAAUUUAAAGGUUAAUAACCCAUAAGUAUUUGUAAGUUAUUAAUCCUCAUAGUCUAAGGUUUAAAUUACAUAAAUAUACUUCAUGAUAGUCCAUCAUACUAUGCUCUGAUUGUGUUAGGUAUCGUGUUUUAAAUCGCUCAUUUUAAUUGGAAAUCUAUUAUUUUUUCAAUGAAAAUAAUUUUAAUUUGGCUUGAAGUUAUUUCUCAGUUAAUAUAAAUAUAUGUGCAUACACAAGUUUUUUUUUUUAAUAUUUAUUAUUUGAAUUUUAUUUUAUUCAUGAUUUCUUUAAAAUAUUAUUUGUUGGAAUUAAUUGCUACCUUGUUAUUCUUCCAAAAAUAAAUUUUGUUGCUUAAAAAAUAAAUUUCUUCCUACAUUAAAUUCACUACUUAAAGUUAAUAAAAUCAUUUUCUCAUUUUCUGGUUUACUUUUAUUUAUUUAUUUUAAAUUAAUAUUUAUCUAUAAUAAGAUUUAUUUAUAAAAAAACUAAAAAAAAAUCAUCGUCUCAAUGUUUAACUUAUUUUUUAUUCUUACUUUUUUGUGUUUAUAUUUUAAUUUUAGUUUUAUGUUUAUUUUUAAUAUUUAUUUUUCACUUCUCGGUCAAAAUUUUUCUUUUUUAUAUACUUUAAUUUUUUAUUAUUAUUUCUCGUUGAUAUCCUCUUUUAUAUAUAUAUAUAUAUAUAUAUAUAUAUAUUAGAAAAAUAUAUAUAAAAGAUAAUAAUAAAAUAAGACACCAUGAAUAAAGUGAAGGAAAAAAAUAAAAUGUAAAAUAAAAUCAAAAUAUUCGUGGAGAAGUAAUGCUGAUGAUGAUGGAUGACCCACCAAACCAGAAGAAAAGCAAAAGGUGAUAAUAAAAAAAGAAAAGUGAGAAAAGAAUCAAUAAUGAGAAACGACUACCCUUAACUUUCUUCGUCACUUUCCCCCAUUUCACAAUUCACAGAGCCCUUAAAUUCACUGGAAGUCACUACCUUCCCAAUUCCUUGAGCUCCUAAGUUCCUAACUUUUUUCGUCACUUUCCGGAAGGUGACAAGAAGCCACUUCCCUUUCCCUAAUAAGAUUUAUCUAUAAAAUGUUAGAAAAUAAAUAUAUCAAUCCAGUGAAUUUUAUUUUUACUCUUUUUUUAAUAUAUUUAUCUUUUAAUUUUUUUAUUUUAUUUUUCACUUCUCGUCAAAAAUUUUAUUUUCUAUUUAUUUUAAAAUUUUAUUUUUAUUUAUUUUUAAAUAUUUAUAUAUAAUAAAUAAAUAAAUAAAAUAAAAUAGGAGACCAUGAAUAAAGUGAAGAAAAAAUAAAAUAAAAAACUUGGUGGAGAAGUAAAGUGCACCGAGUUUGAAUAAUGAAUGUAAAUAGGAGAAAAAGAGAACAAGAGAAAAGCAAAAGGUAAUAAGAAAAAGAGAAAAGUGAGAAAAGAAUGAAUAUAGUGAGAGAGGGAGAAAGAGUUGGCCCUAACUUUACGAAGGUCACAGCCUCAUAGGAAGCCAUCUGCCUUGGAAUCGGAUGAAAUUACUAGAUUGCCAUCAAUGUUCCGAUCUUCCAUUAGAUGAAAGGAUGGCAGUAUAGUAAAUAUAUACAAAAAUAAAAUUAAAUAAUAACAAAACUCAUCACGUAUAAUAUUAGACAAAAUAUAUAAAAGAUAAUAGUAAAAUAUGAGAGUAUGAAUAUAGUGAAGAAAAAAAAAUGUUAAAUAAAAUAAAAAACUUGGUUGUAUCCCAUUUGAAAAUAGAAGAAAACAAAGGUGAUAAGAAAAAAAGAAAAAUGAGAGAAGAAUCUCUAAGUCAAUAGACAGAGAGCUGUCCCUAAUUUUCCUCUUCACUUUUUGGAAUGUCACGGGAAGCCGCCAUCUUCCCAACUUUUUAUAUUAUAAUUUUUUUUUUUAUUGUAACUACGGUUUUCUUAUACUUAUAGGAUGUCUUAUAAAGUUUUUUUUUUUAAUUUAUUCAUUUUAUUUGAAUAAUAAUAAUAAUUUUACUGAUAUUUUAUAUAAAAAAAAAAUUGAUCUCUCUUAAUCAUUCAUAAAAUGAAUUAAUUUUUUAAUAAAAGUAAUUUUAAUUUAGAUUUAAAUUAUUUCUCAAUUAUAUUUAGAUAUAUGCAUAUAAAAAAGAUUAUUUUCUAAUAUUUAAUAUUUAAUAUUUUAUUUUAAUAAUAAUCUCUUUAUGUAGACCCCCAUUUGGGGCUCAUUUUCUGCAGCUUGCUUUUAGCCAGGUGUCACCAUAUGGGGGAAGCCACAUGUCACAUUUUGACUAGCUGCUAGAGAAUCACAAUAGUGGAGUUGGAGGAGCAAUCAGGGGUUGACACCUGUAAAGGUGAUUCUGAGAAAAUCUGCUGGCCAUUAGAGCAAGCUGGGAGUAGCGUAUGAAGGGAGGAUGCUUUUUUGCUGCCAGCUGCAUGGUAGUGGAGAGGGGAUUUUAGGCAGCUGCAGGUGAUUUUUGGUAGGGGGGAGAGCUUUUGUUUGGUUUUUUUUGGAGAGGUUCCGGGUGGCUGUUUCUGCAGAGUGGAGGGGGAAAAGGAGAGAGAGAGAGAGAGAGCAGAGGGGUUAGAAGCUGCAGGAACCGUGGUGUUUUUCAGAGGGUGUGGUGCUUUUGAGAGCAGGGGGAAGCAAGCUGAAGAGAAGGGAGCAUUUUCUGGAAAGAGGGAACAGAGAAGUUUGACGGUGUUACUUUCCGGGGAGUCUAGAGGUAGUUUCCAUUAGAGAGAGAGGGGAGAGCUUGGGCAGCAAGUUUCCAGAAUGAAGGGGAAGUCUCCAUUGCCGUUUUCAAGGAGAUUUUUCUAUAAGCUAUACAGAGAGUAGCUCUUGGAGAGAAGAAAAGCAAACUGAGAAGAAGAAGGUUCAGCUGAGAAGAAUAGAGAGAGUUAGAGGACUGGAGCUGCCGUGAGGUGGGUGACUCCAUUGCCAGAAGAGGGAGACUCAGGUAUGAUUUCCAUAGCUACAUUUAUUUUUCCAUGUUCAUGCCCUUUUCAUGGGGAUAUCUGAAUAUCAAAUGAGAUUCUAUCUGGAUGUUUGAAUGUGUUUACCGGGUAAUGUCGUCGGUUUUUGGGAUCUUGAGCUUGCUUAUACUCACCCUUUUGCUUGAUUUCUAUCCCGUUUCAAUGUCCCCUGUUUUGAGAUCUCUCGUGAGAUUCCCACCUUUGUUUUCGUUUUAAAACUCGUUUUUGGAUUUUCCUCUUGAAUUGAUUCUACAUCCGAGCUCAUUGAAGGGCAUGGGAAAUGAAGCUUGUAUGAACUCAUUUGGUUCCCAUCUGCUGUACUCUGUUCCACUUGAGCAAUAACCAGUUGUAUAACAUCAAGCUCUGUUUUGGUUGGAAACCAUUGGUUCACGCUACAAUCUUCAUUGGUGAGCUUGUGACAUCAAAAUCUCCGGUGGUGACCACGACUCCGAUUGCAGUUGACGGCGUUAUUCCCAUGAGAAAGAUCAGCUCCAGCAGGUUUCAGUGCACUCCCUGGCUGCAGGUAAGAAGGUCAUCAUUUUCUGUAUUCUCGGUGCUUUCACUCCUACGUGCAACAUGAAGCACGUGCCAAGCUUCGUUGAGAGCUGAAAUCAAAGGGCAUCGAUGAAACGCCUGCACCCAUGGCUCCAUCACAGCCGCCAUAGCCUCAUGCAUGACUGAACCCAUUCAUACCCAUUAUUUUUUUUCUACGUACCCAUCAAACCCGUCCAUCUCAUCCUCUGUCAUCCAUCUCAUGCAUGCAUCCCAUAUCCAUCAAAACCAUUGUUUCAUGCCCGUGUCUCAUACUCUCCCAUAUGCAUGGCAGCCUUCAUUACCCAUCAAACCAUCCGUCAAACCCAUUUUCUCACUCUAAGACCUUCUCAUAUCCAUUAUCCUUUUCUCACCACCUUUCAUAACCAUAUUUCCUGAUACCUAUCAUGUUUGUUUUUCUCACAAUGUCCUCCGGAAAAUGGGUUUUCUCUAUGAAUUUUUAAGCUGAUUGGGAUAAGGAAGCUGUCUUGUUUUCACCCAGAGUUAAGAAUGGUGCGAAGCUUCUUGGUAGUUCGGACGAUAAUGGUGCCCCAUAAUCGUGUAUGCUUGUACUUGCCAUAAAAGAUAUUGUUGCUCUUUCAUUACUGAAAACCCUUCAGGAAGAAAGGCUCCAAGCUUCUACUGAGAAUGAACAUGAAAUCAAUGUUUGCUCAUCAAACCAGAAAUCUUCUCUUGUUUAGUGUUGAUCUUGUGGCAGUACUUAUGGAAGAGAACCCAGACAUAGCGGGUGAGUUUCAGAGUGCGGUGCCGAUACAUGAGAUAUAGCACGCAUGAUGGAUGAAGAAGUUUCAACGCCUGUUGCUACAACUUCAGCGCUGGUGUUUGAGUUCCCAUGGACGGGUGAUUAUUCUAAUCUACAUAGCUUCAGCUAAUGGAUGUAGUGGUCAUGCACAGAAACGACAUUGCCCACCAAUGAAGACAAUGAAAAGCAUACAUUCAUUUCCGGGGUAGAAUCGCAGUAACUAAGAUGUUUUCUGCAAGCUUGCCCUCGGCAUUUCUUUGAAUGUGACCCAGAUCACUAGAAACAAAGGCCUACAAUUGAGGGAUUAUCUAUUGUGUCACUCAAAACCCAAAAUGUAGAUUAGAAAAUCCUCUUGUGAAGAAAAUUUCGAGUAUACAUGUUGUUGUGAAAGUGCUAAAGAGGGCCUUAAAGACUCAGGUUUUUUUUACUGAUUGUUGCUAAAGAUGUGGGCAGAUUUUGGCAUUGAGCUGGGCAGAUUUUGAUGCUCAGGUGGCAGCUGUCAUAGUUUCUCUCUCCGGUCGGCGUCGCUACAUGACCAGAAAUCUCGUGGCCUGGAAUAGAACCUGUCAUCUCUGUUUCUAGGAUCCCGACAAGGAAUGCGUUCAUCGGAUCCCCGUUCAUCUAGAAGAAACCUAUCCAAUUUCGGUUCCCACAGUUUUCGCCUUCAAAGGUAUACGGGUACUGAACCCACAGGAAAAUAGUCUGGGAAUUGGAUCAAGAUCAUCAAGGAUGGCUUCCAGUCGUUGAGUUGGCUUUACAUGGGAUAAGAGGAAUCUGAUCUUCACCGUGGCAUGUGCAUGGCCACCUUUUGGCCCACGUGUCACCUUUCAUUCCAUUAUCUUCCAAUCUUCUUAAAAUGAUCGACUCAAAUCUUCAUCUUGUGAAUAUUCUCUCAAAUCUUGGUUUUUAAAUAAUUUCAAAUCACCCAAAAUUUUCAUCCUUAAUUCCUAUUGGUUCCAAAGCUCCAUUUUUUUAAUAAAAUUUGGUCGCCACUUUGGCAAACCUUUUUCACUUUUUCAUACUUCUCAUGUUUUUAAAACGUUUUAAAAUAAGCGAAGACCAAAUUUUGUAAUUCCAAAUGAUGGAAUUUACAAAAUUGAUUCACGCAAAAAUAGAAAUGGGCUUUGGUAGGGGCUCAACAUAUGAGAUUUUAUGAUUGAUUGACUGAUUGAUUGAUUCAUUAGCUAUAUGUGAUUGAUUUAUUCUGUUCCUUGACAUGCGUACAAGUAUAUGUAUAUAUUCAUUGUUCACUGACCCUGCUUCAUGAUAGCGCAUUUGUCACUGGAAGUCCAGGUAUGCACUCAUUCUCAUUUUGAUUAUUCUCUAUGCAUGCUCUUAUUUUCAUAUAUGCAAGUUUGAUUUGAGUAUCUAUUGAUUUCCUCAUUCAUUGCCACACCAGCUUCAUUUUAUUAAUAGAGACCCGACUUUAGGGGCUUAGAGGGGUGCUAUGGUCCGUACCGUACCUUCCCGAUAAGUAACCUGACCCCCGAACCCGAUCCGGUUUUCAUAGACCGCCUUUUUCAAAAUAAGGAGUCACACUUAGGGUUUUUCUUUCUUAUUUUAUUUACCCUUUAAAAAUAAAACAAAAAUAAGUGGCGACUCCAAGUCAUUUUCUUAAUCAAUAAAAAUCAAUUUUUCAAAAUAAAAAUCGAGCUCGCCAUUCGAGUGGGAAACGCAUUCGAGCAAUCGAAAUACGGGGUCCACACUUUAGAAUGUUAUCACGAUUUUUAUUAGAAUUAUCAGUUAUAUUUUUAUUCUUCUCCUUCCAAAAAUAAAACCAUUUUGUACUUCAAAGAUAAAACUCUUCCAAUAUAAAUGUACUACUUCGAGUGAAUAAAAUCAUUUCCUUUAAUUUUAGUUUAUUUUUAUUUAUUUAUUUAUUUAUUAUAAAUUAUAAUAUUAUAAGAUUUAUUUAUAAAAUAAAUAUAUCAAUCCAUUCCUCUUUCUUUUAACAUAUUUUCAUUUUCAUAUGGUGGGUCAGGUUUAUUUUAAUUUUUUAUUAAUAUUUUUUAUGCCCUUAAAGAAAAAAUAAAAUAAAAAACUUGAUGAGGAAGUAAAGUAGAGGAGCGUAAUGAUGACGAUUGAAUGGCCAGAGAGAGAGAGAGAGAGAGAGAGUGGGUCAGCUGCUUUAAUUCAAGAUUGAAUGACCCGAGAGACACAGAGCUGUCCCUAACUUUCCUCUUCACUUCAUGGAAGGCGCUUUGCCUUCCCAACUUCUUAGUUGCACAAUCUCCUCAUUUACUCACUGUCCUGAAGAGAAAUCAACCCCUCUAAACUGUCUUUGUACUUUUGAGAUAGAAACCCAGAAUGGCUUCCACAAGCUCCUUCAGAGCCUCUUCUUCUUCUUCUACUCCUUCCAUCCCUCGAACAAGUACUUAUGAUGUUUUCUUGAGUUUUAGAGGCGAAGACACCCGCUAUAAUUUCACUGAUCACCUCUACAGUGCUUUGGGUAGGAGAGGGAUUCGCACCUUCAGAGACGAUAAACUCAGGAGAGGAGAAGUGAUUGCUCCAGAACUCUUGAAAGCCAUUGAAGAAUCAAGAUCUUCCGUAAUUGUUUUCUCUGAAAACUAUGCUCGUUCGAGAUGGUGUUUGGAUGAGUUGGUAAAGAUCAUGGAGUGCCAGAAAGAUCUGGGACAUGCUGUUUUCCCAAUUUUCUAUCAUGUGGAUCCAUCCCAUGUACGAAAGCAAGAGGGAAGUUUUGGAGAGGCCUUUGCCCGUUAUGAAGAAAACUGGAAGGACAAGAUACCAAGGUGGAGGAGGGCCUUGACGGAAGCAGCCAAUCUUUCUGGAUGGCAUCCACUAGAUGGGUAAAUUUAAUUUCCUUUCAACUAUUUGUAAGUAUAGGAAUGAGUAAUAUUUUUGCAUUUAUAGAGUCAUAAAGUUGAUUGAAAUAUUUAUAAACACAUGGGACAGAAUGUUUUUAUUUGGAGUUCUACUAAUUAAGUUGUGGAAACUAUAAGUUUGAUAACCAAAGGGAAUUACUGAAAACCUAGAUUAAAGAUAGUAUUUCUAUUUAAAAUACUUUUAAUGGAAGUGUUUUCUGUAUAAGUGUUUUUCAUAAAAUCAGUUGUGUUAUCCACGAAUUGAUUUUUUUUUAACUUUUUCAAAAGUAAUUUCUAAAUUUUGUUAACUUUGAGUCAGUUUUGCGGUGAUCCUAAGAAGCCUUUUUAAUUUAAAAGGUGUUUUUGGAGAAAAAAAAAAACAAAAACAGGUGUUUGGUAAAAUAUAUGAAAUACUUUUAAAAAUAUAAAAAUUCGGUUGAGUGUUUUAUAGAGAAAGAUUUGAUAGGUGAUUCCUUUGAAAACACGUAGGGCGGUGUUUGGUAUACGAGAAUAAGAAUGAAAAUGAAUAUUUUGUUUCUAUUCCUAUUUUUUUUAUGAAUGAAAAUGAAUUUGGUGAUUCUAUUUUUAGGGUUUGGAUGAACUUAGGAAUUUUUGGAAUGUUAUUUGUUUUCAUUAUAAUAUUCGGUAAUAAUAGGAAUGAAAAUGAAAAAUAAAUAAACUGACAAUAAUACCCUUCCUAGUUUAAAAUAUUUUUUUUAUUUUCAUCUAAAAAUAAAUAAAUUUUGAGAGUUUUUUUUUUUUUCUAAAUAAUAAGAUUAAAAAAAAGUCUUAUUAGGGGAUGAAGAGGCAUGAGGCUUGAUGAAUGAAAUUCAAGUUUAAAAUAGUAAUUUUAAACUAUUUUAUAUUUUCUCAUAGGAUGAAUGAAUCAAAAUACCACCUACUUGCAAUGAAUUAAAAUCCCACUUAUAAGUGGGAUUUAAUUUCUACUGGAAUCAUUUUUUAUUUCAUUCCUACCUUUAUAAAAUUUAUCCAAAUAUGGGAAUGAGAGAGGGAAGGAAUGAGAUUUCUAUUCCCACUCCUCAUUCCCACGUACUAUUAAAGAAAGCACUUUCAUUAAAGAGAUUUGAGUAGAAUUACUCUCAAACACCUUUAAAAACAUUUAUUAGGUUAAAAGUCCUUUUUAGAAAAUGGGGUUUUCAAACUUAAAAACUUCUUAUAUUUAGAUGUUGAGUACUACAUCUGGAAUGAAGCUUCAAGCAUUAAUUAUAAGAUAUAAAACAAUAGUCAAAGAAUAAAAUAUUUGCUCCUAUAAGGUUUUCAAUUGUCAUGGGAUGUUAAAUAGUUUUUUGAAAUGUACAUGAAUGAUAAAGUAAUAUCUUGAUUCAUAAUCAUCGUACUUAUUAUGGCAUAAAAUUUCCAUUUGAAGUUAUGCCACAAGCAUCACCAAUAACAAAAUUCAUAUUUUAUUCUUCAUUUUCAUGCAUACUCGAUACAAUAAAAAAUGUCAUAAAAUGUAAAUGAACUAGUGUUUUUUUUAUAUAUUCUGUUUUACUACAAUUUAUUUGUUGUAAAGAUGGUAAACUUAAUGUGUAUUAUUUACCAUUGUCACUCAUUGCUCAACAUAUUGUAUUUUUAUAAUUGGCAGGUACGAGUCCGACUAUAUUAAGGAAAUAACUAAUAACAUAUUCCGUCGAUUAAAUUGUAAGAGGCUUGAUGUUGAUGCCAAUUUAGUUGGUAUAGAUUCCCGUGUAAAAGAGGUGAGUUUGCGGUUGCAUAUGGAAUCAAGUGAUGUUCGUAUUGUUGGGAUAUAUGGAGUUGGUGGGAUAGGCAAGACAACCAUCGCAAAAGUUAUAUAUAAUGAACUUUGUUGCGAAUUUGAAUAUAUGAGCUUUCUUGAAAAUAUUAGAGGGAUUUCCAAUACCAAAGGUUUAACUCACUUACAAAAUCAACUUCUUGGUGAUAUCCUAGAGAAAGAGCGAAGUCAAAAUAUAAACAUUGUUGACAGGGGAGCAAGUAUGAUAGGGACCAUUCUCUCAUCUAAAACAGUUUUUAUUGUUCUUGAUGAUGUUGACGAUCGAAAUCAAUUAAAAGCUCUACUUAGACAUUGUGGAUGGCUUGGAAAAGGAAGCAGAGUCAUCAUAACAACUAGAAAUAAACAUUUGUUAAUUGAACAAAAAGUGGAUGAAUUAUAUGAGGUUGAGGGAUUGAAUUCUAAAGAAGCUUGUGAACUUUUCAGUUUGCAUGCCUUUAAACAAAAUCUUCCCAAAUCAGAUUUUAUAAACCUCUCAUGGCGUAUGGUAGACUAUUGUCAAGGCCUUCCAUUAGCUUUGGAAGUUCUAGGUUCUCUCUUAUACGACAAGACAAUACCUUAAUGGGAAAGUCAAUUGCAUAAAUUGGCCAAAGAACCUGUGCCGGAAAUUCACAAGGUGCUUAAAAGUAGCUAUGAUGGAUUAGAUCUUACAGAAAAAGAUAUUCUCCUUGAUGUUGCAUGUUUUUUUAAAGGUGAAAAAAGAGAUUUUGUGUUAAGAAUAUUAGACACUUGUGCGGGAAUUGGAAUACAAAAUCUAAAAGACAACUGUCUUAUAACUCUCCCAUACAACUGUAUAGGUAUGCAUGAUUUGAUACAACAGAUGUGUUGGAAAAUUGUUCGUGAAAAUUUUCCUAAAGAGCCGGACAAAUGGAGCAGAUUGUGGGAUCCCCAUGAUAUUGAACGUGCACUUACAACAUCUGAGGUAAUAGCCAAAUGCAUAAAUUCACUUAAGCUCUAGUUAAACUGUGGACCCCGCAUUUUCGUGCUCAUGCGUUUCCCACUCGAUGGCGAGCUCGAUUUUUAUUUUAAAAUGAUUUUUAUUUAUUAAAAAGCAAUGACUUGGAGUCGCCACUUAUUUUUGUUUUAUUUUUAAAAGGGUAAACAAAAUAAGAAAGAAAAACCCUAAGUGUGACUCCUUAUUUGGAAAAGGUGAUCUACGAAAAACCGGAUCGGGUUCGGGGGUCAAGUUACUUAUCGAGAAGGUACGGUAAAGACCGUAGCACCCCUCUAAGUCCCUAAAGUCGGGUCUCUACUAAUAAAAUGAAGCUGGUAUGACAACCAAUGAGAAAGUCAAUGAAUACUCAUAUCGAUCAUGCAUGUAUGAGAAUUAGAAACAAGCAUAAGGAGUGACCAUGAUGCGAGAAAAUACAUACCUGGGUGGCGAACCAAUAUGUGCUAUCAAGAGGAGGGUUAGUGUACAAACACAGAAGGAUAAUGUGUAUAUCAAGGAACAGAGUAAAUCAAUCACAUAUAGCUAAUGAAUCAAUCAAUCAGUCAAUCAAUCAUGAAAUCUCAUAUGUAGGACCCCCACCAAAGCCUGUUUAUUUUUACAUGAAUUAAUUCCAUAAAUUCAAUUAUUCGGAAUUACGGAAUUUAAAUUCAUGUUUAUUUUAAAACAUUUUAAAUCAUGAAAAAUUCGAAAGGGGCUCGCCAAAGAAAAUGGCGGCCAAAUUUUAUUGAAAAUAGGAUUUUUGAUGAACCUAAGCAAAAGAAAAUCUAAGGAUGAAGAUUUGAAAAAGUUAAAAUUAUUUAGAAAUCUAGAAAUUGGAAAAACCAUUUGAAAACCGGGAAUUGAGAAAUUAUUUUAAAAUCGAAGACGAUGAGAUACAAAGAAAGGACACGUGGUUCGAAGGUGGCCAUGCGAACCAUGCAGCGAUUUGGUGCAUCUACAUAUCCAUCCUUGCCAAUGAGGCUUGAUUGGGUGCUUCCCCAAGCCAAGUCUGCUAACUGUUGGGACCAUUAUUGGCAAGCCCAAGUUAAGUCAUAUAGGAUUUCACACAAUCAUUAGAGCAGCCGAUUGUCCAAAUAAUCACAGAUUCAUCGCUUUUGUGAUCAACCCUUUCAAGUACAGCUCAAACCUGCUUGAGGCGGUCAAGAAUUCUUCACUUAGCUGCAUAGUCAUUGCAAAAGGGCACAGUGGUAGAGCUGGACGUGCCAUUGUCAAUCUCUAUCAUGCUUACCAUUUCAGGAAUAAGGCCAAGUAGGAAUAAGGGGCACCAAGACCUACAGCAGCAAAGACUGCCUUUGGAAGAAAUAUUUGUGCAGCCAAGAACGAUGGUAAGGCUGCAAGAGAAGGCAUUUGUUUACCAGACGCGAGGCAUUCGGGUUGAGAACACCACCCAGAACUAUACCAUCUGAACCUGCUAAGGACACACUCAAACCACCAGUUCUAUGGCAGCUACCAUUAUCUUCUGAAAGCAAGAAGAAGCCUGACAGAGAGAUAAUAUCAAAUCGACCCUCAUAUGAAACAGUAUCACCAGACAUAGCUGACUGGCGAAGGGUAACAUUGCAGAUGACACCAUUUGCAGAGAGGAUGUAAACUGUUCGGGGCCUUCUUUUCAAUUCCUCAACCAGUUUGUAAAACGUCCUCUCCUUGCAUCAAAAGUCCCACAGCUCUUAAAAGGCAUUGAGAGCAUAAAGCAGGCUGACCGAAACCCAGCUCGCGGCUACAAAGACGAGACCCCAUGCACGAGGAUUAGGCAUGCUCUAGCAAGGUAUUUUACACCGAGAUUUGCAUAUUACAGAUGUUACAACCAGCAACUUUGGAGUGAGAAACUUCUCCUCUGCCCAAGUUGCGGAUCCCUUAAGCAAAUGCUUCAAGUGGCACUGACGUGAUUUAUCUCUUGGGUCAAAUCUAUGCAGGUUUACAGAUGACCUAUGAUUGCCAUCUGGAGGGGUUUCAUGAUGGAAAUAACCACGUAACUGCUGUGUGGAAUAAGAUAAGAGUCCUAGGACCUAAGGAUGCAUUUGGAUGGAAAGAAGAAACUCAGCCACAAAGCAGCCUGCAGACCACAUAUCACUGGCAGUUGUAUAUUCUGUAGCCCUAAAGAUCAGUUCUGGAGCUCUAUGAUACCUUGAGCAAAUAUAUGACUUGUUUGGUUCACCUGGCACCACCUUCUUUGAGCUUCCAAAAUCACAUAUAUGCAGCUGAUGAGUGUGGGGAUUGACCCAUAAAUUUUGAAGCUUGAUAUCACAAUGACAGACCCUAAUAGCACUGUGCAUGCAGUUAAGUGCAUGACAGAUCUGGUAUGCAUACAAUUGCACUUAUAUAAUGGGCACAUGCUGGUCCUUCCUGCUGUGAUGUCUUGAAACUUGGUAUGCAGUUUCAAAUACACCUUCAAGAGCAAGAUUAAGAUACACUGCAUCUCUUUCAUUUCGAUUCUCAGUCACAUCCUCAACAAUUGCUCGUCUGAACAUCAACAUCACACGGAAGAACAAUAGCAAACUCAGGCUGUGGCAUAUUGCUUCCAUAAUGUUUGUUUCCAUUGGCAAUGUUUACUAGAAUUCUAGUGGAUUCUUGGACUUCAACUAGCUGUUGGAGUUCUUGGGCCUUUGGAAUUACAUGAUCCUUCAUGUAUGCCCAAUCAGGCAUCUUCCACAGACUAUCAAACAGAGCUUCAUAGUUCUCUAUACUCUUACCAAAGUCUACCAAUGCAUCCCACUGACUAAGCUGAGUAGCACAAUAAAUCCAUUGCUCCUCACAAAGACAUCCCAAUACAGGCAACCAACUCCAAACAUGAUACCCACACUAGAUAUAUCAGAGACAGAAGACACAGUGAAGGAAAAUAGAGCAUGUGAAAGAAGUAACACGAUUAAAUCUGUCUUUCCUCCAUGAAAACAAAGAGAGUUAAGAACUGGUGGGAAGUUUUUGAGUCACUUUAACACAAAUAAAUAGUAUAAUCACAAUGCAACCCAUACAGAGAGAAAAAAGAAAAACAAACAGAGACUAAGCAAAUGGAAGCUGGGAAACAGGUUUAACAUAUUAGACAGCCAAAAUACACAUCCAAAUAUCAGAAAGAAAAAUGGAAAGACUGAAAUAAUGGAGAACUCAAGGUGUAAAAACAGCUAAACCUGAGCGAUCCUUUCGAUCAAAAGUCGUUUGAUUCUCAGCAAGCCGCAACCUCUUUCCUCUGUUCCUUGCUUCUUCUGUGAAAGCUCUCUCUUCUCUCUCAAGUCACUCUAUGUUUCCUUCCCUGGACGUCUUGCCCUCCGAAUCACCUAAAGAUAUCCCUCUAAAACCCAGCAAAGACCAUGCCUCCUCUCUCACAGUUUUCUCUCUAGAAAAACCCCUCUACCAAAAGCAGUCCGCUCUCCAAAUAUCUCCUCUGUCUUUUCCAGCUUCUCCUCCCAGAAUCCUUCUCUCUAACCUCUCCCAGCUCUCUGCUACUCUAUCACCAGCCAAAACAGCAGCCAAAAGUCACUCUCUCUUGCAGCUGGCAGCUCCAGAUAUCCUCAACGGCCAGACGACACCACCUUCCAGCUGCCUGCCUCCACUACCAUGCAGCUUAACGGUUUUCAGCUUUUCUGCUGAAUAUAUCUCCACGUGUCAAGCUUCCAUUGGCCAUCAAAACCACUAAUUUGAUUCUUUACUAGUCAAUCUGGAAGAGACACGUGGCUCCUUGAGAGCCUUCCACCUGCAAAGAAAAACUUACAGCAAAUGUGAUAAGACAUGAGCCCCUAAAUGGGGGUCUACAUAAACAUAUAAAUCUCAAUAAUAAUAUCAUUCUUGUAUAAGAACUUACAUAUCCAUAUAAGUUAAGUUAGUUUGUAUUUAUGUUUGCCUUAUCCUUGUUAUUUUUCAGGGAAUAAAAGGAGUCGAAACAAUAGACUUGGACUUGUCUAAGUUAAAAAGAGUACGCUUCAAUUCAAAUGUUUUCUCAAAGAUGACUAGCCUUCGAUUGCUCAGAGUUCAUUCAAAUGACUAUUUCUAUCCUUAUUCUUAUGAUAAUAUGGAGGAGGAGAAGGUAGAUCGUUAUUGUGAAGAAAUGAUUGAUUCUGUAAUGAAAACUGCUUCUAAAAUGCAUCUUGACCCAGAUUUUGAAAUCCCUUCUUAUGAGUUAAGGUAUCUUUGUUGGGAUGGGUAUCCUUUAGAUUUUUUACCAUCAAAUUUUGAUGGAGAGAACCUUGUUGAACUUCACUUAAAGUGUAGCAACAUAAAACAACUAUGGCAAGGGAAGAAGGUAUUAUUAUCAUUUAAUAAUGACUUCUUUUGCUUUAUAUUGAUUUUAAAAUUUCUAAUAGUUAUUUCUUUUAUUGAAACUAUUUUCUUUUGGUACAGGAUCUUGAAAGUUUAAAGGUCAUUGAUCUAAGUCACUCAAACAAGCUCGUUCAAAUGCCAGAAUUCUCAAGCAUGCCAAAUUUGGAAGAACUAAUUCUUAAAGGUUGUGUAAGCUUGAUCGAUAUUCACCCAUCUGUUGGAGUUCUCAAGAAGUUUACUACCUUAAAUUUGACGAGUUGUGUUAAGCUUAAGGGUUUACCAAGUAGCAUUAGCAACUUGGAAGCUCUUGAAUGUCUCUAUCUUACUAGGUGCUCAAGCUUUGACAAGUUUUCAGAAAUUCAAGGAAAUAUGAAAAGUUUAAAGUUUCUAUAUUUGCGCAAGACUGCUAUUAGAGAACUUCCAAGUAGCAUUGACUUAGAAUCUGUUGAGAUUCUUGAUCUCUCUGAUUGUUCCAAGUUUGAGAAAUUUCCAGAGAAUGGAGCAAACAUGAAAAGUUUAUAUGAUCUUAGUUUAGAGAAUACUGUUAUUAAAGAACUCCCAACAGGUAUUGCCAACUGGGAAUCUCUUCAAACUCUUGAUCUCUCUAGUUGCUUAAAGUUUGAGAAAUUUCCGGAGAAGGGAGGGAACAUGAAAAGUUUAAAGAAGCUUUGUUUUAAUGGUACUGCUAUUAAGGAUCUGCCGGAUAGCAUUGGAGACUUGGAAUCUCUUAAGAUUCUUGAUCUCUCUUAUUGCUCAAAGUUUGAGAAAUUUCCAGAGAAGGGAGGGAACAUGAAAAGUUUAUGGAAGCUUAAUUUAAAAAAUACUGCUAUUAAGGAUCUGCCGGAUAGCAUUGGAGACUUGGAAUCUCUUGUGAGUCUUGAUCUCUCUAAGUGCUCAAAGUUUGAGAAAUUUCCGGAGAAGGGAGGGAACAUGAAAAGUUUAAAGCGACUUUAUUUAAACAAUACUGCUAUUAAGGAUCUGCCAGAUAGCAUUGGAGACUUGGAAUCUCUUGAGAUUCUUGAUCUCUCUAAGUGCUCAAAGUUUGAGAAAUUUCCAAAGAAGGGAGGGAACAUGAAAAGUUUAAAGAGACUUUAUGUAAAAAAUACUGCUAUUAAGGAUCUACCGGAUAGCAUUGGAGACUUGGAAUCUCUUAAGAUUCUUGAUCUCUCUUAUUGCUCAAAGUUUGAGAAAUUUCCGGAGAAGGGAGGGAACAUGAAAAGUUUAAAGCAGCUUUAUUUAAUAAAUACUGCUAUUAAGGAUCUGCCAGAUAGCAUUGGAGACUUGGAAGCCAAUAUUUACAUAAUAAUUUGUGCAGGAGUUGAAAAGUUGGAAACUCAGUGCUUGUAUUCCAGAAAGUAGUGGAAUUCCAAAGUGGAUAAGGUAUCAAAACUUGGGGAGUGAAGUUUUUAAAUUUCCCUCCAUUAUAUAAAAAUUAAAUAAUUUUAAAAUGCAUAAAUUUAUAUUUGCGGCAUCAAUUUUAUAUUUGCGGGAGAUCAACAAAAUUAUAUGCCCUUGUUGGAGCAUCCCCAGAACUCUGGUGACAAUGGAUCAGCAUUACAACAUACCAAUGGUAAUGUUCAUGGGGCUAAUCAAGAUGAUGAACACUACCAGCAUAUUCCCGAGUUGUUAGAUCUUCUCAGGAAUUUUGGUGACGAUGUAUCAGCAGUACUUGAAGACAAUGAUGGGAACCGUAACAGAAGACGUGAUGAUUCCUUACCCGAUGCCUCAACAUCGAUCUCUCGCUUUGAACUCCAUCACUAGGUGCAUUAUCAACCCUUUUUCAAUAUUCUAACCCCUCUCCUUUUUAAAUUAUUUUUGAAGUCAAUAAACUAUUUUAUAUGUUUCUUCAAACUUAUUUCACUAAUUUUCCUCCAUUAUAUAAAAAUAAAAUAAUUUUAAAAUGCAUAAAUUUUUAAUCAAUUUUAAUUUUAUAUAUAUAUAUAUAUAUAUAUAUUUCAUAUUUUCUAUAGAAAAACCAAGUACAAAAAAUAAAUUUUCUUAGUUUUUUUAUUUAUUUCCUAAGUACUCUCUUGAGAUUCAAACAUGGUUUAUAGUGAUUGAUAUAAUGACUAUGCAUGUACUACAUUUCAUAGAAUUUCUUCAUUUUCGAAAAAUAUGAAAAAUAACUUCAACUAACUUUGAAAGUCAUCAUUAGUUUAAAAACAUGUAUAGUUUUUUUUUAUUAUUAUUAUUUUAACAUAUAGCUUAGAUAUGGUAGAGUGAAUUGCUUUAUUUUUUUUAUUUUUUUAUUUAAUUAGUUAACUAAAAACCUCAACAAAGUGAUUAUGAAGCUCUAGGAUUCUUCCUUACCUUAUUAGACAUAACAUUAAUUAAUUAUUUAAUUAAUUAAAUUUUUCUAUUUGCUUUUAAGAUAACAUUUGAAUAAAUUAUCAAAAUUAGUUAGAGAAGAUCAUGUACACAAAUUAGAAGUUAAAUUUGAAUGUAUUAUGAGGUAAAUAUAUGUAGAAACCUAAGUGUGUUUGAUAGUGAUUUUAAAAAACGUUUCUAGCAUUUCUAACACUUGAAUGAUAAAAAUUUAAGUGUUAAAAAAGUAGAAAGCGCUUCUUAAAAUCACUAUCAAAUGGACUCAUUUGGUAGCGAUUUUAGGAAGCCCUUUUAAUAUUUUUAAUAUUUGAAAAUUUUUAUCAUUCAAGUGUUAGAAAUGUUAGAAACGCUUUCUAGAAUUACUCCCAAACGCACUUUUACUUGAUGGAAGUAAAUAAUGAAACUCCUAUAUAUUGAUUUUAAUAGUUUUAAGAGUCAAAUUGUUUAUGGUUUUUGUAUUUAAGAAUUAAAUUUCUUUAAGUAUGUUAAAACAUUUUUUAAACAUGCAUACUUAUUGUCUAUUUCCUGAUAUGGAAGUCUUGGAUUAAUCUUAUAUUCACUUAUGUGAAAUUUGUGAUAUGCUCAUGAAGUUUACCUAACAAUUGAUCAUACUAAUCUUAAGUGAAAUUUGUGAUAGUACCGAUCAAAACGAAAUCGCAUGUGGUAGCUACAGGUGGACUUCAUGUUUUUUCCUAUCAACUUAUUGGUAAGUCAUUUUGUUCAUUUAUCCUUUUAGUACGCGUAGAAAAUUGAUUAAAGCUCUUCAACUUCUUUACUUUUUUCUCUUUCCCAUGAUCCCUAUUUUGUUCGAUUAUGUUUGGUUUUUGGAAAACUUGAAGGAAAAUAUAAGGGAAAAAAAACAGAGAAAAAAAAAAGGAAAUAAAAAGUGAAAAAGAAUAAAAACUAGAUUUAAAGUCAAUCAAUUAUUUUCAUAUGUUUCUUCAAUCUUAUUUCAAUUAUUUUGCUUCAUUAUAUAAAAAUUAAAUAAUUUUAAAAUGUAUAUAGUUCUAACUAAUUUUAAUUAUAUUUAAUUUUUCCAUAUUUUUCACAAUGAAACCAAAUAAUUAUCAUUUUCCUUGACAUUUUUUAUUGUUUCCUUGGUACUCAUUGGGAAUCAAACAUAAGUUUAAAACCACUAGAGUGGUCCAAUUGGUGAAUGCGAGUAUUGAGAAGUGUGGUCCCAUUAAGUGGCACAUGGUCCUGAGUUUGAAUCCUAUUACCAAUGAUACUUAGAAUUUACCUAGUGUUAGUUGUUGCGAAGCAAUUAACACUGAGGUUUGGUUCCCCAUAGAGAGUCCUACGGGCUUGACUAUGGAAGGUUUUUCGAUUAUUAAAAAAAAAAAAAAAAAAACAACAUAAGUUUAAUAAUGUUUUAGGAGGUAAAAAGAAAAGGGAAAAAAAAAAAUUGGUAGUGCAAUCCACAAUUAACUAGGACAUAUAUUUUUUCUCAUGUGCUUGGUAUAAGGCACUAAGUAUCAUUAUAUUAAAUCCUCCAUUUACCGCAUAAUAGUUAGUUAUAAAUUCCUUGCUAUUAAUAUAGGUAAACAACAAUUUAUAGAUGUUCGAAUUAAUUCUUAAGUUAAUGGUUAAUACCCAUUAAUUAUGUUUUUAGUUCCUUUGAUGAUUAUGUUAUAAUUUAAAUAUUUUAGGGGUUUGAUUUUAGCUUAACGAGCAUGAAGUGCAUCUAAUGAUAUGUGAUUCCCUAUCACUAUGUUUGAUUCCAAGAAAGUAUAAGGAAAGAAAAACCCUCAUGAAAGUGAUUUUCUCAUGAAAAAAUCCAAGUAUGAAGGAAUAUGAAAAUGAUUCUUGGAAAUCAAACACAACUUUGUGAAAUAUGCUUGUGUUAAUAAUUAUAGUGUGUGUGUUUAUGAAAUUGAAAUGUUGUUUUUUAUUAUUUAUCUUUAGGUGGAAACAAGGACAAUGAGGAGAAGUUAAUCUCAAGAUGCAAGUGAGAUUCCAAAUGUUGCUAAGGUGGUCUACUCUUGCAUGUGAUCAAUCUCUUACAAUCAUGACCAUCAAGAAAGAUGGUAUAAUUUGUGUAUUGGAAGUGUGAAUUAGGAAUGUUAAAAAAUGAAAACUUGAAUUGAUAUAUGUUUUUGCCCAUAAGAUGUGUGGUUAUGGGCAAUUCUUAUGGGUAUGUAAUUGACCUUGAUGUUGCAUAUGAAGCAUGUCACCCUCUCUAUAUCUUCAAGUUAGUGGUUGGAGCUUCUAUAGACGGUGAAAGACAAGUGUCACGGAUUUAAGUAUUUCCUAAGCUCUCAUGUGGCACUUAGACAAUUCAAGUCUAUUGAAGUUGCCAAGUCUUUUAGGUUGUGAUAAAGGUCUCUCACAUUUCACACAUUAUAAUCAUCACAUUUUAACUCAAGUGUUUAUUUUUAAAUACUUUUCCAUUAAACUCUUUUUCAAAAGUAUUAAAUUAAUACCAUUCUCUAAUCUUACUCGGCUUGGUUUGUCAACUUCAGUGGUUUAUUACUCUCUAAAGCCAACUUUCAACUUAAUCAAUCCAAUGUAAUUGUUAUUGAUCCAUGGUCAAUUAACAAAUUCUCUAAGGUUAUGAGUGUUUUUUGAAAAAUUUGAGGAAAAUAAAAUAAUGAGAAAAAGUACAAGGAAAGGAAAGGAAACAUGGAGAAGCAUAAAAGAAAUAUAUUUAAAAUUAAUAAUUUUUUUUAUUUGUUAUUUCAAAUCCAUUUUACACAUAAUUUUAAUAAUAUUUAAUUUUUUUCCCUAUUUUCUAUGAGAUACCAAAUAUAAAAAAAAUUAUUUUUCUUAAUAUUUUUUAAAAUGUUUUUUGGGAACUAAACAUAACUUAAUACUUGUCUUUGUGUUUCAAGAUACCAAUAAUACUUCUUGAUAGAAUCAUAUCUAUUAAUGUGGCAUGUAUACAUGUGUGGGAUAUUCAUGGUUCAAUACUAUCACUAUCUUACAAUUGUGGAUUCUAAUUGAAUUUUAUGAAUUAAUGAUAUGAUCUUUCUUCAAACAAAAUGUUUUCAGUUAAGUUAAAAUGGUUGAAUUAUUUCAAUUGGUCAAACCUCAAUAUUCCAAAUAUUUCUACUUUGAUUAAUCAAGGUCUUUGUGAGUUGACUUUAAUUUGCUUUUAAAUUUCAUCUAUCAAGGUAUUUUAGGUGCUUCUUUGUUUUGUGUAGUCUUGUAAUAGAUUAUGAGAUAAUUUGUAGACCAAAUUAUAUGCAAAUUAUCUCAUUUAUAGAUAUUUUUUCACCCAAAUUACAUCUUGUUUUGGACUUAAAGUCAUUUAGUUUUGCAUGUGCCAUAUUCUUUAAAAGAAACUAAAAAGGGAUGGAUCCUAGUAUAUAGUUGAAGCAAAGAAGGAUUUUAUUCUAAAAUUAAUAAAAAAAAAAAAAAAUUUGAUAAUGUAAUUUUAAACAUCUUUGAGAUGGUAUUUGGUAAACUAACUUAAUAAUUUAAUAUAACCUAAUAGCUUAAUUUGUUAUUAAGUAAAUUAACUAUAUUUGGUAAAAUAACUUAAUAUUAUAAUAUAAAAUUAACAUUAAGUCAAAAUAGUUAACUUAAGGGUGUUUGGUAAAUCAACUUAAUGACUUAAUAAUUUAAUUUAAGUCAUUAAAGAGAUUAAGCAUAUUUGAUAAAAUAACUUAAUAUUACAACUUAAAGUUAUUUUUAACUUUAAGUAAUAAGUCAAAAAGGUUAAUUUCAUUGAGACCCCUUAAGGUUUAAUAUAAAUACACUCGAUUACCGUUGUUUUCAAAUUUCAUCAAUUAGUACCCUUAUGAAUUUAUUUCAUUUAAAAAAUUUAUUUUUUUAAGAGAUUUCAAGUAAAAAUUUAGAUAGGAGUGUUUAACAAUUCACUAAAAACUAAAUUUUAUUCUUUAAAAAAUAAAAUUUAUAUACAUAAUACAUUUAUAGGGAUGCUAAUUGAUGAAAUUGAAAUUUGAAACUUACGAUGACUUAAUGUAUUUACACUAAACCUCAAGAGUCUCAAUAAAAUUAACUCUAAGUUAAAAUAGUUAACUUAUUCUUAAUCUCAAAUCUUUUUUACCUUAGUUGUCUACAUUUAUGACUCAUUUUUUAUGAUUGUACUUGUAUCUUUAAUGCUUUAAAUAUGAAUAUUUAACAAAUAAAUUUGUUGUUUAGGAUUAGUGAAAAUAUAAUUAUUAGUUAAAAUUAAUAAGGAUGAAUUAUGUCAAUUUGACAAUUCAGAAUAAAAGUUUUAAGUUUACAGUUCAAGAACCAUUUAGCUUAAAAUCAACUUAAAUCAUUAAGUAAUAAGUAAUAAGUUUUACCAAACGCCUAUUUAAAUAUAGUUUUUAAAUGAAUUAUUCAAUCAAAAGACAAAUAUAAAAAUAUAAAAAAUGAAAAAUAAAAGAUAAAAUAAAAAGGAACAUGGCAAAUAGGCAUCAUAAAGUCUUUUACAUGAUUUCAUUCCUUUUUUGUUCACCUUUUUAGAAGACGAUUUUAAUAUUUCCUUAGAAAAUUAUGAAAACAUAAAAUUGUUGUUUCCAUAUUUUCUAUUUUUAAAACUCUAUUUUUUGAAAUAUUGAUUUAUGUUUUCUUUACAAAUGAAAACAAUUUAAACAAAAAAGUGAUUUAUCGUUUCCAUUUUUAAAAUUGAUUUUCACUUCUUUUGAGUUAAGGCAUUUUCAAGAUAAGAAAAAAAAUAGGAAUAAAAGCUAUUUUUUGAGAAUAAAAAUAAAUGAAAAAUGAAAAACAUUUUCCAACCGAAACACAUUGUUAAUGUUUGCAUCUCAUUGUGCCUUUUUCUAAUCUCCAUCCCACUCUUUGAUGGGCUAAACUCGAAAUGGAAAGUUAUAUCUUGGCACAUCCUUUAAUUUACAUUUGUUAAAUUGGUUUUGACAUACAUUUUUCAUAAUAAAUGCAAAACAAUAGCCUGAGUUACAAACAUGAUUUCCAUGGUUAUUCAGAUCCAACCCGUGCUCCAUUGUAAACCCUAGGCUCAUCUUUUAUACCAUUAUCAACCCGAGCCACACUGUUACCACAGGGAAAGUUGCUAAUACCAAAUAUUUAAGUAUACAUACAAUACAAAUCAGUCCAUUACCCUAAAAGAAAAGGAAAAAGAAAAAUAACUCGUGUCACAGAAAGGAAUAAUCUAUUGGGUCAGUGGCUGGUAUCCAAAGUGAUACCAAACUGUGCUGACAAGGAGCCUUUGUAAGAAUCUGAUACAACUCCUGCUGUUUCUGAAAGGUUGCUCUUCAUCUCUGAAAUUUUUGAUGCCAUGUGCUCUUUGUAUUUCGAAACUGAAUCAACCAAAGCAUAGAGUUCCCAAGCACAUAUCUGAAUUUCUUCCUCAUUUUGCUUGAUUGCUUCCUGCAACUUCAAUUUGGACGUCUUCAUGACAACAUCAAAGUCUACUCAGAAUCCCUUGAAUUUUUCAAUAUUAUUCACAUUAAUCAAGAACAAUUAUAGAGCCAGGUAGGAAUUUUUAGCUCUGAAAAGGGAAACCAACUUAUGUUAAAAUAAGUUUCUUUCAGGUUUACGACAUCCACCCUGGCAAUAUUGAUAUCCUUAACUAACUAUUCAAGACAAGAAGAACAAAAUUAUACCUCCAGAACAUCUGCCACUUCUCUUUCCACUAUAUCUACAUUAUGGGUUUCUAUCUCAACAUCCUCCACCAACUUCUUAACUUCCGUUGCACACCUGACAAAUUGAUCAUUCAUCCAUGGUUAACCUCGUACAACAAUAGCCUGAAAGUAUUCAUUCUGAUUCCUGGUCAAAAAUCAACCAGAAGAUAAAUAUCCAUGAACGAAAAGCAAUUAGAUUAAACAAUGUGUAACCCAAUAAUUUAUGUUGAAAAAUCAAGUUAAACAUCAAAUCCAUCAGAAACAAAGAGUGAUUCUGUGAUGGAUGAUAGCUUAUUAAUAAAAUCACAUUAUUAGGAAGACACUACUCAAUAGCUCUUGACACUAAUAAUGGAGUUCUUUAAUAAUGGAAUAACCUUACAUGGCAUAGUUAUGCAAGCAUUGUUUAAGCUAAUGUUGAAUAUAGUCAAAACCUUAACAAUAAUUUCCAAUCAGCAAGUUGGAAAAUUACUUGCUAAAAAAUUUACUUGGAAAAAGAAUCAAAUGUAGUCAAUCCUUUGUAGGGAGUAAUUAUCAUCCAAAAAGAAUUUUUCUUAAGUGUUUUAUAGGCCAUCAAAGCUACUUUGAAAAUUUGGGGCCUGACUGCCUAUGUGCAAUAACAAUUGACAUCUCCAGCAGAUUUUUAUUUUUAUUUUAUCCAAAACAAAUCAUUCAUUGAUAUGAAUUUGAUUACAAACGAAGGAUAAGAAACCCUUUCAAAAUAUAAAGGAUGAUUAAAAAUUGAGGAAAAACCUAACAAGAGUAGCAAGAUAGUUAUACUAAUCAAGGAUGAUACAAGAACUUGUACAAAAUAUAGCGAUAAUGUACACUUGAAGGGGGUAAAACAUACCUUACAAAAGAGUCCAUUUGCAUGGCUCCACAUUGAGCCAAUCAAUCUGCAACCUGAUUCACUAAAUGAAGGGACCAAUAGAAGGAACAACCCAAGCUACUAGCUAGAUCCAAGGUUUUAGGGAGCUACAUGUCAUACAUCCCAAGACAUGUGAUGGGGGAAAGCCUUUCAAAGUAUAUUCAAAACGGAAAGGAAGGCACAAAUAAACUUUAAGUGGGAUCAGUAUUAGUUGGAGUAAAAUUAGAAUUAGUAUUUAUUGGAAUCAAAUUAGGAAUAGCUAAAUAAUUUAGAGGAGAAUUAGAGUCAUAAUAGGUUAUAUUAGAAUCCUAAUAGGCUUUGGAUUUCUUAGAGAAACCUAUAAAUAAAGCUAAUUGAUGUAAAUCAAAGUAAUGGAUUGAUAAUUAAUAGUAUUACACUUUCUUGCAUACUUUGCAAUUUUCAAUGGUAAGACUCUUGAUUUUCUUCCAAGUGAGACUUUUAAAAGGCCUUAGUGAGACUCAAAAGUUUCUAUCUCUUCUUCUUCGUAUCUUCUUUCUCAAUGUUUUUUUAUUUUAUUUUUCUUUAUCAUAAACUUUAUCCCUUGUUCCUCUCCUUAAACCCUAAAAAAUAAAAACCUUAGCCCACUUAUUUGAUUGUAGGCAACCAAUAGGGUUGUCCUACAUCAAUAUGUCCAACAGUUUAAUCAUCCCUUCUAAUCCAAUUUGAAAAUAUCGCCUAUUCUCAACUGAAUUAUAUUAAAGCAUCUUUGGGUCACUUUUCUAAAGCACAUGUCUGGUUUUUAAAAGUGGACACAAUUCUAGAAUUGUGCAUUUGGAGCAUGUGCAUCUAGGGCAUCCUGAAGAUACGUGCAUUAUGAAAAUGAACAUGUAUUCGUAUUUCUUAUUCUUUCUUCUUCUCCCUCUUCCCUAUAUUUGUUAUUCAUCAUAUCUUCACAUCACCUAGGUACCAUAUCAAAACCAUACAACAAGCUGGCCCUUGAUCAGCAUCCAUCUGACCUUGAUCAAUGGACUUCAGAAACAAUGGCAUGCACCCCACAUAAAUACUAUUGGACAUUUAACUUCCAAGUCCUCUGGACCAAUCUGACAUAACUAUGAUAGCACACUUUUUGGGUCACCCUUUGUAUUAGUUCAAAGGAACAUUCCAACCUGAGCUAUCCAUUGAUGCCAAAAAGUUGUAAUGUGGGUAAUACAUGCUUUGCUCAUAUACAAUAAUUGUUUUUAGCAAUGGAUACAAAAUGGAUGUCUAUCUAGGGCAUCCAGAAGUUAAGAUUUCAUCUACAACCAGAAGAGUACAACCCCUAAAGCUUCAUGGAUACAAAAUGCCCAUGAUUGUCCCUUAAUAAGCCCCAACCGGCUCAGAUUUCCCAAAAAGCAACCUUCCCAAGAAGUGUUUCUAGGAGGAAUAACAAACUUAUCUCUCAACUUAUCCCCUUCAUCACCCACAUAAUUUUAAAAGGCGCAAGGCACACCUAAGAUGCAAAAGUCUCCUAUAGCUUAAGCGCAAGGCACAACACAAGGCAUGCGCCUCAAUGAAGUGAAAUGCGACCUAGGAUACACAUCAAUUUUGUAAAAUAUGAUUCAAAAUCUAAUCCGAUCAAUAAAAAAUUUAAGAUUUGAAACAUUUAAAAGAAGCAUUCAAUAAAAAAGUAAUGAAAUUAUAUACAUUUCAGUAUAUAAUUAGAAAUUUAAAAAAAGAAGUGUUUACAAAGGAAGAGUAAAGCUGACAAGGUGCACUUUUUCAAUAAGGCACAUAUCUUGGCAAGCAUGCGAUAUAACUUGGGAGUGGUGGCGCCUUGAGCCUAGGCCCACUUAAAGCACGACUUUUAAAACUAUGAUCACCCAUUAGACAGGUGGUUAGACCAAGCAGCUCUUGCUAUCAAAUUUUGAGUGACAACUGCUUGUGUAUUUGACACAACAUUUGCCCUUUGUACCAAAUUUUAGAUUGAUCAUCAGGUGGUAGUAUACUCCUUUCCAAUUAUUUUAUCUCCCAUAUUUCAUUUAAGUCAUUCUGAAAUUUAGCAAUAUUCUAUCCCAAUGGAAUUUCUAGGAACAACAUUUUUCUGUCAAAAUUUGAAUACAUCUAAAUUACCACCUUUUGGAAUUCCAAUUGUAGUCCAAUCCAUUUAACCACAAGAAUUGAUUUUCCAAGAAAUUUUCUUAUUGUGCAUUCAACUACUAACAAUUCAAGAAAACCUUUUUUUUUUUUUUGGAUAGGGAAAUCACAAUUCAAAAAACAAAUUAAACGAAGGGGAAAGCAAGAUUCCAAACAAUUUUGUCUUUUAGAUUGCAAAGAAAAUACCAUAGAAGCUUACGAUUACAACUUUAGUUUUCCUGGAGUGGCAUCCAUGAAAUAUAACAACCAUGCAAUUGUAUAUGCUACUGCUGGUACUUUAGAAAUGGUAUUGCUCACAAAGUCAGACCACUAGGUAAAGAAGACCUGCUUUCAUUUGUUAUAUAGAUAGAUGGAUAGAUGGAUAGAGAGAGACAGAGAGAGAGAGUUUGGCCUUUUCUGAGAGCAGCAAAAAGAGGAUGAGUUAAUUUGUACUUCAGUUAAUUGCAUAUUCAAUAGGGGACCAUUGGCUCCAACUAUGUGCACGCUCCCUCCAUCUGUAUCCUUAUGGAUGUGUGUCUGAGAAUUUUAUGGGUCUGUCAUUCUUUCCAAAAUUUUAUGUGCUGCGAAGUUCUUCUUUCUUGUAACAUGAUCAAUCUUUUUAUUUGUACCAAAGAUUUCAGGAAUGUCUUUGAGAAUUUUACGAGUAGAGGAUUCAUCAUCCUCUCUAAAAUUUGUCUCCUGGAGUUAAUUUGUAUCUAACAUCAUCAAUACUUUUACCCUUUAAAAUUUUUAGGAAAACAAAGUGAAAAUCUGGCUGCUCCUGUUGACACCCUAAAAGCAUAUAAAAAAGGCAUAGUUUUUUAUUCUUUGUGAGAGGUAUAUAAAUGCAUAGCUGCUGAACAAGAAAAAUGAGUUGUAAUUCACUUACUUCAUCACUACUGGAUUGAAGUGCAGCAAGAUGAUUUCUUUUUGCUUCAAUUUUAGCAGCAUUUUCAACUGAUUGUUGCUGAAGAGAAAUCAACUCUUCCAACUUUGACAUAGAGCUUAUAUUUAUGUCAUCAGCAAAGGAGUCAAGUGCAGGCUUAAGCGUUGAUUUGUGAUAAAUUCCCAAAACCUCAGCAGGCGAAGACCCUUUGGCAUUCAACACAUACUGCAAAACAUUUCCUAACUUUAACCUGGUAACCAUCCAAGAGAAAAUACUUCAAUCACACAAUAGAUUGUAGUUUAAUAGGUUGAAAGAGUUGCAUGAGGUGGCAUGCUAAUUUGUCAAUUCAAAUAUGCUCCCGAAAAUGAAGUAUUUAGUGUUGCCUCUUCAUCACUAUUAGUUUACUUCAAAAAAUUAAAGAGAGCAUGGUCCAAAGGGAAACAAUAGGCUCCUAAGGCAGUGCUCAGUAGGCAAAGGGUUGUGUGGGUAUGGGAAGGUUCCAAGUUGAAAUUCAUAUGCCGAGAGAGAGAGAGAGAGAGAGAGAGAGAGAGAGAGAGAGAGAGAGAGAGGGGGGGGAGGAGAGGGGAGGCUACCUCAAAAAAAGAGGUUGCCAAGGGCAACUGUAUCACUUAUCUCUGUCUAAAUAAAUGAUUAGAAAACUUGUGAGGAUGGAAGUGUUAAAUGGAGAUUUUUUUUAAAAGCCAAAUCGAGAAUGAACAUUAACUAACCUUCAAAACCUUUUUAUUUUUCUUACUUUGACAAAGCUCCAGAAAGGUUAGCAGUUUGAGAGUAACAUUUAGCUCAAAAGGUUACAGAAGAUGAACAAAAAUGAAAUCAUAAACCAAUACAAAAGCUGUAAUGCACCCAAAAGAUAAAUGAAGGUAAGGCAAAUUACAACACAGAAACUACCCAUUGCUGGUGUUGAAUCACAACAAAUGAAGUUUGAGUUGGCUACUUGGAAAUAGUGCAUGUGACUCAAGAAGACAUAAGCCAUUGAAUGGUUCAGCCACUACAUUCACCUGGUCUGAAUUUUUGUCUACUGAAAUUUUAUUUUUUUGUUAGGUAAAUUUUUUUGUCCCUAUUGGGAUUUGAACCUGAAACUUCCACAAACCCUCCCAACCCUUUACCUCUUGAGCCAGGCCUCAAGGGCAUGUUCAUUGGAAUAAUUUAAGCAGAGAACAGCAGCUGGAUCCUUCUUAGGAAUCUCCGACUAGUCAUGCUAUAACUACAGAGCCAGAUCCUAUGUUCUCACUGAAGUUAUACUAAAAUGUUGUAUAUGUUAAUGUGUUUGCUAAGAACAGGAAAGUAUUUCAUAUCACCCAUAAAUGACAGACAAGUCAAAACGAAAAAAAUAAAAUAAAAUUUGUAAUCUAAUUCAUGGAGGUAGAUAACCUAAUGUUGAUAAGAAUCACAGUAGACUUUAAUGGAAUAGAGAAAAUCAAUUCCAAGCAUUACCAAACUUAAGAAAGAACACAAUUCUACCAUGUUCAUUAAUUAUCAGAAAGCAUACUGAAGAUUACUAGAAAGACUUUAGAGUAUGCAACUUGAGAAAUUAAGAAAAUCCUAGUGGAGUGGAUUAUAGAGGUAUGAAAGCCAAACAAAGAGGAUAAGGAAAAGAAAACCUCCUGAGAGCCUGGUUGCAUUCAAUUGAAAGAGCUUCAAGCUCCUUAAACUUGUGCCCAAUUGUCGUGUCAAGAUCCCAAGACUUCUCCUCCCAACCAUUCCUCACAACCUCAGCCUCCGCGAUAUCUCUCUCCACUGCCUGCAACUCCCUCUUCAUCCUCUCUGCAUCUCUUGCAUUAAACGUCUGCAACUCAACCCUCUUCUUCAGCUCUUCAUUCUCCUCGCAAAUUCUAUUAUUCUCCUCAACCUUCACCCCCAACUCCUUCUCCUUCUCCUCCAAAAUCUUCUCCACUGAUGCAAUCCUUCUUGAAAAUUCUGCAAUUAUUGCAUGAAAUUUCUUCACAUCCUCCUCCAACACCCCCCUCUCCUUCUCCACAACCUACUUAGCCGAAGGGCCCGACAUCAAUUCCUCCAACCUCCCCUCCCUCUCUACCACUUCCUUCUCCAAUGCCUUCACACCUUCCGCCACUGCAUCCCUCUCCCUUUCCAACUUCCCCAUAAACUCCCUAUCCACCGCCUCCAUCCCAUCAUCAUCCCCGCGAAUAUAAUGCAAGUAACUAUCCAAUGCAUACACAAAAGUAUUGUCAAAACACUGCAAGUUCGACACAAGAUGGUCAUUAUACAAUGCGAUCUGAACCAACCAAUGCAUUACGCCUAAAGGGAAGGCCAAGCAUGUGGGGUUCCGGGGGCUUUGAGAGCGGACUUGUUGAGCUUGAUCAGAAAAUUGAGGUGCUUGAGGAUACGAAGAUCGUCUUCAAGUUUGGUUGUGGGGAAAUCGAGUUGGGAGAUGAGGAAUUUUAGGGUUUCGGAAAUGUCUUUGGCGGAGGGGAGAGGGGGUUUGAGGGGGAGAGGAGAGACAUGGGAGGCGAGAAAGGAGUUGAUGGUGCGAAUGGCGGAGAGUUGCUACGACCGGUUGGUGAGGACAUCGCCGGCGGAGGAGCGGUUGAUUCCAAGGGAGGAAGGGCGGCUGCUGGCAAAACUAGAAUCAGAGUUGCGGCUGAAUUGGCUGUGCUGGUCGACGGAGGGAGGUGCUGGCGGCGGUGGGCGGAUAGAGUCCUUCGGAGGACGGCGGCCAGUGGCUUUCAUCUCCGGCUGUGAUGGGCGUCUCUCUCUCUUCUGAGUUCUUGUGAAUUCUGAAUCUCUCUCUUUCCCGCCUAUGGGCUACAGGGAAAAUGACACUGCUUUUUAAAUUUUAUUUUCGAAAACAUUUUGUUAAAUGAAUUAUUUUUAAAACUAUUAAGAUAUUAUUUCAUAUUUUUAAAAAAAUUAAGAUAUUAUUUGGAAUUAGAGUUCAAUGGAAAAGUUAAGGCCCUUAAUUUCUUAUUCAAAAGAUAGUGGGUUUAGCUUUAACUUGAAAAAAAAAAAAAAAAAUAUAUAUAUAUAUAUAUAUAUAUAUAUAUAUAUAUAUAUUUGAGGAAAAUUAUAUUGAUACCCCUUGGCUAUUUGACAAUUACACUUAACCACCCUCAAAUUUUUUAAAUUACAUUGAUAUCACUUGACCAUAAUGGAUAAGGGUCUCCAACGGGCGGGCCGGGUCGUAAAUAGGAGGCCCGCGGCCCAGCUCGGGCCGGGCCUAUGGGCCAUGGAAAAAUGUUAGGCCCACGGCCCGGCCUAUGAGCCCGCGGGCUAGCGGGCCGGGCCUAUGAGCCCGUGGGCUAGCGGGCCGGGCCGCCGGGCCAAGCCUUGGGCUUUUUUAAAUAAGCCAAAAUGGCUUUAGGAAGGAAGGGAGAGGGGGGGAUUCGAACCCCUCCCCUCAUGCUUUAAUAUAAAGGCUCUAACCAACUGAGCCACAUUUCUUUUGUGUUAACUAAAUGAGUUAGUUAUAUAUAUAUAAGAUAAAGUAUAUUAUUUUUUAAAAAAAAAUUAAAGGCUCCAACGGUCAUGUGACCGUUGGAGCUCCAGCCCAACUCCCAGCUACCAUGUGAUCGUUGGGCAACGGUCACAUGGCCAAUUUUUUUUUUUUUUUUCUAAAGCCUUCCUAUAAAUACCUCUUCUCCCUUUUCAUUUUUUCAUCAAAUUCUCUCUAUUUCUCUCUCUAUUUCUCUCACAUUCUACAAUAUUUCAAAUUCUUUUAUUUUUCCCUCAAAUUAUACAAUAUUGUUGGUGGUGCAAAACAAGCAUUGAUGGCUCCAAGAGUUCAAAUUUGCUAGGAAUUUCUGCAUCGGUUCUCUAAUUGAGUAACAUACUUCACCCCUGCUACUUUAUUUUUUUGUUACAUUUUUUUUAUAUUUAUUACUUUAUUAUUUUUGGCAUAAUAUUUUAUCAAUAAUUAUAAUAUGACAAGUGCUUCUUCUUCAUCUAGUCCAUGUGAUGAAAUAUCAUCAAACAAAAAAUUUACUUCAAAUAUAUGGAAUUUUUUUGAUAGAGUAGAAAUAAUUUUAGAAAAUAAUAAAAAAGAAAUAAAAGCAAAAUGUAAAAUUUGUAAUAAAUUUCUUACUGGUGGCUCAAAUGCAGGCACAAGUCAUUUAAAAAGACAUCACGAAAAUUGUAAAACUAAAAAUAAUGUAGAUAUUAGAAAUUAUAUGCAAUUAGGUAAAAAUGAAAGUGGAAAUUUAAAAACAUUUUCUUAUGAUGAAUCUAACUGUCGUGAAGAAAUGAUUGAUUAUAUAAUAAGAGCAGAACAACCUUUCAACAUGAUGGAAACUCAUGAUUUUGUAGGAACAAUUCAACGAGGUAUUAAUCCUCAAUUUAAAGGUUGGUCUGGAAAUACAGUUAAAAGAGAUAUUAUGAAAAAAAUUUAUACACAAAAAGAAAUUUUAAAAAUUUUUUUUGCAAAUUUUGAAGGAAAUAUUUGUUUAACAUCUGAUAUUUGGACAUCUUUAACUCACACUGGUUUUUUAUGUAUAACUGCUCACUACAUUGAUAAUGAAUGGAAAUUAAAUAAAAGAAUAAUUUCAUUUAAAUUAAUAAAUGCUCCACAUAGUGGUAAAAAUAUAGCAUCUUUAAUAAAUGAUGAAAUUAUAGAUUUAGGCAUUCGUGAUAAAAUAUUGACAAUAACAUUAGAUAAUGCUGCUAAUAAUGAUACAACAAUACAUAGACUAAAACGAUAUUGGCAAGUAAAAGAAGAUCAUGCUAAAAUAUUUCAUGUGCGUUGUUGUGCACAUAUUUUAAAUUUAAUUGUAAAGGAUGGAUUAAAAAAUGUUGAUGAUACAUUGGAAAAAAUUAGAGGCAUUGCAUAUAGUAUUAAUAGUUCUCAAGCAAAACAUGAAUUAUUUUUUGAUUGUUGCAAAAUGUUAAAUAUGAAAAGAAAAAAUAUAAAUUUGGAUAUGGCCAUUAGAUGGAAUUCCACAUAUAAACUUUUACAAAAUAUUACAAAAUAUAGAAAAGUAGUCGAAUUAUAUGAAAUACAAUUACUUAACAAUGAUUGUGAAGCAGAUAUUUAUGCAUUAAGUGAUUAUGAUAGGCAUGUUGCAGAUCUUUUAAGAGAUCUUUUUGAAAUUUUUGAUACUUCAACAAACAUUUUUUGUGGUGUAUAUUAUCCAACUUCAAAUCGAGUUAUUAUGCAAAUAACUAAUAUUUUUAUUGUACUUCAAAAAUAUUUAAGUUUUGAAAUAUUUAAUGAUACAAUAUUUGCAAUGAUAGAAAAAUUUAGAAAAUAUUGGGGGGAAAUACCUUUAAUUUUUUAUAUUGCUUUAAUUGUGGACCCUAGAUUGAAAUUUGAAGCUUUGGAUGAAUGGUUAACAAUUAUUUAUUUUAAUGACCAAAUAAAAAUUGAAGAAAUUAAAAAUGAAAUAAAUUCAUUAUUACAUAAUUUAUAUAACUAUUAUAAAGAAAAAUAUGGUAAUGAUAUUAAUACUAAUAAAUUACCACCUACAUCUACAAACUCCUCAUCUUUUUAUAAAGGAGCUCUAGAAAUGUUGAAAAGUCGAAAAAAGACAACAAAUAGUUCUCCAAAUAAUACAUCUGAUUUAGAUAAAUAUCUUAAUACUGAUAUAAUUCCAUUUGAAGAUCAAGAAGAUUUUGAUAUUUUAAUAUGGUGGAAAUCACAUCAACACAAAUAUCAUGUGCUUUCUAUAAUUGCUCGUGAUGUACUAACAGUUCCUGUGAGUACAGUUGCAUCAGAAGCUGCUUUUAGUGCAGGUGGAAGAGUUAUUAGUAAAAAACGAUGCAACUUAGCGCCAGACGUUAUUGAAGCAGGGAUAUGUGUAAAAGAUUGGGAAAUAGCAGAUAAAAGGAUGUACGAUUCCAUUCGAGAAACAGAGAUGCUUGCCGAUAUGGAAUCUUUAAAACUAUCAAGAUCUUCAUGGAUGCAUGAUAGUUCGCCAUCACCGCCAGAAAAUAAUGACUAAAUGUAUAUUAUAUUUUUAUUUUUAUUUUUUGUGGUUGAAAAAUACAGAUGAUUGACAAAUAAAUAGGUGCCAACCUAGUUGGGAUGUAUUUAUUUUGUAGUGAUGUAAACUUUUCCCACAUUUUUAAAUGUAAUUAUACAUUCAAUGAAUAAAAUUUUGAAAUGAAUAUUUUUUUUAAUACUUUUUAUUUUUGUAUUUUUUUUUUAAAGGGGCGGGCCUACGGGCGGGCCUACGGGCUGGGCGGGGCCUAAAUUUAGGCCCGCGGCCCGGCCCGCCCAUAAACGGGCUCGGGCCGGGCUCGGGCCCGCGGGCCGCGGGCUUUUUGGAGACCCUUAAUAAUGGAGCAUAACAAUCCAUGUUAUCAAAUCUUUCAAAAUAAUUAAAUAAAAUAUCUAAAAUAUCCUUUAAAGUUCGUUUUAUUUCAUUUCAUCGUACCACAUUUUUUAAUUAAUUUUAACUAAAGUUUUUAAUACAAAAAUUUAAUUAAUUUUUAUUAAAUAGUGUAUUGUAUUAUCUAAUUAAUCAAACUGAAAUCCAUUUGGCAAAGAAGGAAAAAAGUACAUUCCAGACUGCUACUUAAUAAGUUUUCUUGAUUUUAGCAAAGAAAUGCCCGAAUCUCUUUCAGGAGCUUGUGAUCCAGGAAGAUCAAACCCCAAAUCUAUGGCUUUCAAAUUCAACCAUGUGGAUGUAACCCAAAUGGAACUACAGCAUCCCUGAAAAUGCCUACCUUAGUAAUGGCAGACCCCAAAUGGCAAUGGACCCCCACAAGCUUCAGCUCAUUAGGAUGUGCUUUCACAGCACCAAGAAACCAUUGCAACUUUUCAUUUCUAAUUCCAAAUUUGGAGUUCUUUUUCCCAGUGGCAACAUAAAAAUGGACCUAAGGACCCACAUCUUGCUAAUUUCUACACCCUUUUAUAUAUACUUCAAACCAUUGAAAGUUUCUACAUAUGUUCCAUUCAACAAAGAUUUGAGCAAUACAAGAGUCUCAUCCAUGUCCCAGAUAUAUACAUUCAUUAUCUGAUCCAAGGUCUUCUACUCUUCUUAGCAAAAGCUCUCACAGAAGCUUUCAUCUUUUGAUUGGAAUUUGUUGAAUUGCCAUUGAUUAACUCAUCCCUUUUAGUGUCCAAUGCAAGCAACAGAAUCUUAGGUUAAAGCCAGGGCAACAAAGAAAAGAAGAUGGAUAGUCUUUCUGAUUAUCAUUUUCUGCAGGUAGAGGGCACUCACAUAUAACUUCCCAUUUAUCAUCAUCGCGAAUGGAACAACUCCUUGGAUGAGAAAUAUAGCUACUAUUCUACACAAAUUUCCAACCACAAUUGAACUUAUUGGGUCACAAGCUGGAUUUCCUAGUCAUAUGUACAACGAUUGGCGAUGCUCCUACAAUAAUAAGACCAGUAGCUGCAGUGCCAUCCUCUGUCAUGACUGCAACAGAUGUGGGAUCAGGACCACACUAAGCAUAAUCUCUCACUUUCAUUCCCUCUGCAGCUGCUCUUGGCAACAUGAUUUCCCAUUUUCUUCCAUUGGGCUCUAGGAUAAUCCAAUCACACAUCUCUUAAGAGUGUAAAUCACAUGGACAAGCUAGGUACUGUUUUUUGACAACCUGAUUGUCAUCAAGGGAGUACCUCAUGCCUUUUCGGCUUGAAUGUACACAUUAUUUGCAAGACACCUUUUCCACUUACUUUCCAAUGAAAAUUGCAUGCCUAACUACUGAGGACCAAGGAAGCUAGAGCUCACAUUAGAAUCAUUGAAUAUAGGAAAAGGUUUCAAACUCAAAGACAAGGCACUCUGCAAAUUGUUAUCAACCCAACCAAAUUCUUGCUUUGUACUGUCCAUGAAGUGUGAAGGUUGUAUUAGGAUGGAGCUCUUAAAAACAUGACAUGAUGUAAUAGAUUCGAAAUUCCUUAUUUAUUUAAUGAUAUUCCAAUUUCACUUUUAUCUAUCCUUAUUCCAUGUAUUACACUUUAUGAGUAUUCUUGUUUCUUUUGCAGUAUAUGUAACUUGAGUGCAUUUAUGAGUUAUAGGGAAGAUCCAAGUCAUGGGUUCCUUGCAAAUAGAUGACUUGUUCAAAAUCGGUUUGUGGGUUUAGAUAACUUAUUAGAGACUAUAGUGCGCCACCACCUUCUAAUUGAGGGAUAACUGGUCUUUAAUAUCGAGAUGAGUUUUCCAUGGUGAGUACACUAGUGUGUAUGGUUACACAUUGGACAGGACUUAUGGUGAGUCAUGACUUAAGGUUAUUAAGUAUUUGUGACCUUAUCAAACUACUUCAUUGUGUUGUCUCUCAACCUUGAGAGAAUAUUGAGUUUGUGCCAAAGUUAGCAAUGACUUUGACCUAUGGGUGAGAUCGUAAGUUGAUAAUAUAUUCUUUAUGGAUUGGAUCACUAUUGAUGGAAGUUGGUGGCAAUAGGUAUUCUGAAUAGAAGCACCAUGAUAUCUCAUAGGAUUGAGACAAUGUGUCCCCUUAGGUGGUUCUAAGGAGGUGUGUUCAUGGAAACUAUGGUUAUUUUAGUUUCUUAAGUAGAACUUGACAUAAACUCUUUGAGAGUUAAGACAUGUUAGUCGAACACAUAAUGAAAGGAUCUGUAACUCAAUGAUAAUAGAGGUAGUCUUAAAAGACUGACAAUUUUUACCUUGUUAGAUUACGAACAUUAGUUCAUAGGGAGACUGAACACAAUUGAUAACAAGUCACAAACCCGAGUACACAAUGUCUCGUUGUUAUUUACAUAAGAUAUUGGAGUUAUGGUCCCCGGUUUGAGCUCAUAUAUCUUGUUGGCAUAGGUUAUGAGGGUGUGAUUGGUUUUAGGUUCACUUUUAUACAUAAGGGUCUUUUGGUAAUUACAUAAGAUUGUACAAGGAUAAGUGAACAAGGUCUUUGGAUUAAGCUAAUUAAUUAAUUAAUUAAUACUAUUAGGUUAAUUAAUCAAUUAGGAUACAAUUUGAGAUAGAUUAAUUAACCAAAGCCCAUGUGAGCUUAACUCACUUAAGCCUAGUUAGGAACCCUAUAAAUACCCAUAGGGGUUAGGGUUUCUAUCACUUGUAUCUUCCACCAUCAUCCAGAGAGAAAAAUGAGACAUAGUCUAUUGGUUGAUACUUCUAUAUUCUAAAAAGUCAAGCCACUCCACUUCUCUUGUAUUCUAGUACCGCUAUUGGAAACUUCAACAACAACAGACUAUAGAAGAGCACCCUAGCUCCCAUUAUUAAUAGAAUGAAAUGUGUUCAUGUAACUUGCAUGUUCCCAUGCAUUACCAAAGCUCCAAUGCCAUGUCAAUGCACUUGCAAAAAUAAGAAUCCCAAUUAUCAUCCAUAUCGAACAUAAUCUUCUCUUCUAUUGGAUCUAGGGUGGACAAACUUGGAGAAGGGUCCAUUUGUAUUGCCUUUUUCUUAUGAGUACCCAAGCUAACCUGGUCACUCUUGUUUCCUAUUGAAUUCCCGACCUUACAUUUCUUUGUAAAGCCUUUCCUAAUGGGAGUUUUAUGAUAGAACCCUACUAUUAAAAUCUUGAAUGGGAAUUUGGCCAAAGAAGUUCCUCCCCUAAAAUCCUUGCUCUGCUAUGAAAAUAACAUCUGACGUGUGAUCUUGCUCCUGAGGUGCAAUGUCUAGAAAGGCAUUACUGUAACUAGAUGGUAGCAUUGGAGGCUUCUCGUGCACUAGCAACAGGAGUAUCAUACAAAAAUGCAUCAAGCUGUUGCAGACCCAGACCCAGACCCAUUGAGUCGUUCUAUGACGACCCGUUGCUGAUUGGAACUUGCUAACUUGUUUUCUCAAACAUCCACGAUUGCUCUAGUGUUCUUUGUCUCGUGGAAAUGAAUACUCAAAUGGUGCCCAAAUUACAAACGAGAAUAUAGAAGAAAAAAAAAACAAGAGGUCUCCAAAGCUCCAUUUCACACUUUCUCAAUGGGCAUAAAGGAAACCGGUGGAGAACCUAAAGAAUAGAUGAACCCAGAUUUAUGCAUAUUUUGAUACAAAACCACAUAAACAAUAGAUGAAAUAGUAUAUCCAUACAUAAAUUAGAAAACAAUAUUCAAUAAAAUGAAAAUGAAACACAUUAUUAUAAAUGAAGAUGAAUAGGGAACUCAAAAUAUCCAUCCCUGGAAGGGUCCCCUCUGCUUCUCUUCUCUUGAUGCUAUUCUCAUAGUUCAAAGUCACGAAAUCGGUGAUUGACUCGGGAGGUCCUAAGGCACAUCGUUCUCGGUAUCUCGGAUCGGUAUCGGGUGAUAUGCAAAAAAUUCUAAUUUAAGAGCUCAAAAUAAUUUUUAAAAAUUAUGAAAAUUAUUAAAAAAUCAAAUACAAAUAAGUAGAGUAAAAAAUUAAUAAAAUAAACUUCUAUUAUAUUAAAAUUAUUCAAAUUAUAAUAAAAACAUACUUUUGGGAUGAUUUAUAAUAAUAUUAAAAAUCUCUAAAAAUAUUUUAAUUUAAUCACUUGAUAAUAAAUGUUUCUAUUGAAGAUGCAAAUAAUAAAAAGUAAAUUUUUUUUUUAUAAAAAAUUGUUUAAAUUAAAUAUUUUGAAUUUUUAAAAAUAUUUUCAAUUAUUAAAAAAAAUAAAACCAUGAUUCAUCUUUAAAAAAAUAAAUAUAUUUUUUCUUAUAAAAUAUAUUCAUUAAUUUUAAUUUUUAUAUAAAUAUUCAUUUCCUAUUUAUUUGAUAUAAGUCUAAUAUUCAUUAUUCAUUUUUUAUCAUUAUAAUUUUCAUCAAAUUAUUUAAAACCCAAAUCCCCACCAAAUACUCAUUAUCUACUUAAAAAACAAAUACAUAUUUAAAACCCAAUUUCUCAUCUCUGUUAGAUACCCAUAACCCCCAUCCACCCGUCAAACACUUAUCUCUCUCAAGAUACCCAUUUCUCCUCUAAACCCACAACUCCCUAUUUCUCUGCAAAAUACCACAACUUCUUGUUUCUCUGCAUAAUACCCAUUUUUGAAGAGUUUUUAGACCAAAUACAAAAUAUCUUUAUGAAGAUACAAAAAUAUGAAGAUGUUCUAACUCUUUAUAUUUUUCAUUUUCGUGGGUUUUGAUCCUCUCAUCUUCUUCACAAUUUCUACUCCAAUAUUACUUUUUUUUCCAUUACCAAUUACCCAAAUAGCUUAGUCUCAACAUGAUUUUGGAGUUGUCUCAAAGUUUUCAUAAGAGUUACUUUGAGAUUGUUCAUUUAUCUUCAAUUCAACCGAAUUUAUUCACAAGCUGACAAAAUAUCCAACUCUGGUAUUGGCCUAGUAUUGACCAUGGUCGAGGCGGAUACAACUUGGCCGAGUUGUACUGGCCUCAAUCGAGAUUUUGAACCCUACCAACAAGCCCCCUCCAAGAAAACUUGAGCCAAAAGAGUGAAAAAGGCCCCUUCACUAAAGGCGAAAAAGCCUUUAAAAGAAACAAAGGAAGGCUAGAAUGAGUGUACACGUGUCCUCAUCCCAACCCAGCUACUCAAAGGCUCUAAAAUUCCAAAAACAAACCUUAAAAAAAACUAAUCCUAAUGAGCAUCCGGUAAUCCUGCUAGGACCUGAAAUAGCCCUUUAAGUGGCCUCCAAAAUAUAACUCAAAAAUCAAUAAUGAGAAACAUGGACCACUAAGGGAUGAUGAAAAACCGAGCAAAAAUGGAUUUAAACACAUGCUAAAAAAAGAGUGGGGUGAGAGAAAAAAUAAUAAUAAUAAAAUAUGUGUGUUAGGGCCAAAAUAGAGGGUCUAUAGUGUUUUUGCUAAAUAAUAAAAACCUAUUUGAGCAUAUGAUUUACAAACAAAUUUGUUUUUAAAAAAAUUGUAUCACUCUUUGAUUAUUGUGCUCUAUAAACAAAACAAAACAAAAACCAUUUUUUUUUACUAGAGAUUCAAAUUAAGGAAGACUUUUUAUUAAAUUUAUUAAUAAGUUUAAUAAUUUUUUAAAAGAAAAUUUGAAACUCAAAAAAUAUAUAUAAGGAUUAUAAAAAAUAAUGGAAAUAAUUAAUAUUUUGAAUUCUUUAAUAAACAUUUUAAUUUUUAAUAAUAAUUUGAAAUUCAUAAAACUAAUUUAUUAAUUAUAAAUUAAAUAAAAAAUUUAAGAAUACCAUGUUUGAGUAUUAAAUGUAUGUAUGUAAUGAAAAAUUUGACUCAUUUAUACUUAAAAAAUUAAAAUUUAUUUAAUUUUAAAUUCAUUUAAAAUAAAUUAGUAUUAGCAAUUAUUAAUUUUGAAUUAUUAUUAUUAUUAUUUAUUAACAAAAUAAAUCAAUUAUGUUUUCAUAUUUUUAUAAUAUUUAUAAAAAUAUAAUUUGUGAUUUUAUUAUAAUAUUACUAUUAAUAUUUUAUUUAAAAUAUUUAUUUUUAAUUUUUUAAUAAAAAAUAUUUUUUAUUUUUAAUAAGGCACAAAUUAAAUUUAGUUUAUAUCAUAUAACUUGAAUUUACAAUUUGUUUCUUAUAAAAUCAAAAUAAAAAAUUAUUUUUAAAAACAACUUAUCAAUAAAAGGUUUAGAUUUUAAAAUUUUUGAAAAAUAUCUUUAAAAAUAAAUUGUAUUAUAGAAUCAAAGUACCUCCUACUAAGUAUAAGAUGAAAUAUCAUUUAUAAGUAAAAUUUCAUUUCCUUUGAAAUUAUUUUUAUAUCAUUAUCAUCAACACUUGAGUUAUCUAAAUAUAGAAAUGAAUGUGAAAAGGAAUAACAUAUCUAUUCUCACUCUUCAUUCCCACAUAUCAAACAUAACCUCAAGAUAUGACCAUUUAGUUUUGUUUACAUCAUUUUCUUUAAAAGAGAAAAUAAAAAUAAAUAAAUAAAAAAAUUAAAAAAAUGGAUCCUAGUUUGUAGGUACUUGAAAUAAAGAUGGAUUUUAGUCUCAAAUUAAUAUAAAAUAUAUAUUUUAACAAUUAGAUUUUAAACAUCUUUUAAGUGUGUGAUAAUAAAGCGUUUAAUGGAACUAGCACGCAUGAAUGGUAGUUAUUUCAUAUAAAAUAAUGCAAAACAUGCCUUUAUUAUUAUUAUUAUUAUUAUUUUUAAUUUCUUGUGUCUUUUUUUUUCACCAACAAAUAUUUAAGAAAAGAAAUUCUUUUUCUUUUGACCUUUUCUACCCACACAACAUUUCCUUGGAUAAAUAUUAAUAAAAUAUUGUUUUAUAUUAAUAUUAAGAUAAUAGAAAACAAUAUUUACAAAUUAUAGAUGUAAAUUGUUCUAUUGUGCAUUGCAAUAUUAUAUUUUUAUUUUCUUGGGGUGAAAUAGGAAGUUUCUUUUUUUGACAAUAAUUUUUAUUUUUCUCUAAACAAUUAUGUCCAUAUAAAAUAAUUUUGUGAAAAAUCACAAUAAGGAAUAAAUGAUUUAAAAAUGUAUACAAUUCUAACCAAUUUCAAUUAUAUUUAUUUAUUUUUUUCAUAUUUUUCACAAUGAAACCAAACAUGAUAAAGCCAUUUUUCUUGAUAUUUUUUUUAUUUUUUCCUUGGUACUUUUGGGGAACCAAACAUAAGUUUAAUGCUUUAGGAGGUGAAAAAAAAAAUUGUAGCGCAAUCCACAAUUAACUAGGAUAUAUACUUGUUCCCAUGUGCUUGGUACAAGGCACCAAGUAUAAUUAUAUGAAAUCCUCAAUCUACUGCAUAAGAUUCAAUUUUAUAAAGUUCUUGCUACUGAUAUAGGUAAACAACAAUUUAUAUAUGCUUGAAUUAAUUCCUUAAGUCAAUGGUUAACACCCAUGACAUAUUUUUAGUUCCUUGAUGAUUAUGUUAUAAUAUGAACAUUUUAAAAGCAUGAUUCUAGCUUCAUUAGCAUGAACUACAUCUAAUGAUAUGUGAUUCCCUAUCACUAUGUUUGGUUCCAAGGAAGAAAAAUCCUCAUGAAAAGGAUUUUCUCAUGAAAAAAAUCCAAGAAAUUAUGAAGGACCAUGAAAAUGAUUCUUGGAAAUCAAACACAACCUCGUGAAAUAUACUUGCAUUAAUAAUUAUAUUAUUUGUUUGUUGUACUAUAUUUAUGAAAUUGAAAUCUUGCUUUUUAUAAUUUAUCUUUAGGUGGAAACCCUAAGGACAAUGAGGAGAAGUUAAUCUCAAGAUGCAAGUGUGAUUCUGAAUGUUGCUAAGGUGGUCUACUCUUGCAUAUGAAGUUAAUCUCAAGAUGCAAGUGAGAUUCUGAAUGUUGCUAAGGUGGUCUACUCUUACAUAUGAUCAGUCUCGCUUAUUUUCAUGACCAUAAGGAAAGAUGCUACAUUGAAAGUGUGAAUUAGGAAUGUUGAAAAAUGAAAACUUGAAUUGAUAUAUGUUUUUGCCUCUAAGAUGUGUGGUUAUAGGCAAUUUUCGUGGGUAUGUAAUUAACCUUAAUGUUGCAUAUGAAGCAUAUCACCCUCUAUAUAUCUUUUUAACUGGUUGGAGCUCUUAUAGAAGGUGAAAGACAAGUGUCACAUAUUUAAGUAUUUCUAAAACUCUCAUGCGGUACUUAGAUAAUUCAAGUCGCUUGAAAUUACUAAGUCCUUUAGGUUGUGAAAAAGGUCUCUAUCACAUUUCGCACAUAUUAUGACCAUCACAUUUUAACUCAAGUGUUUAUUUUAAAAUACUUUUGCAUUAAACUCCUUUCCGAAAGCAUUAAAUUAAUACCAUUCUCUAAUCUUCCACGACUUGGUUUGUCAACUUCGGGUUAUUACCCUCUAGAGCCAACUUUCAACUUAAUCAAUCCAACACAAUUGUUAUUGAUUCAUGGUUAAUUAACAAAUUCUCUAAUGUUAUGAUUGGUUUUUGAAAAAUUGGAGGCAAAAGAAAAUAAAGAGAAAAAGUAGAAGAAAAUGAAAUAUGAAGGAAUAUAAAAAUUUAUAUUUAAAGUUAAUAAAUUAUUCUUAUUUUUUAUUUUAAACCCAUUUCACAUACAUAUUAUUUUAAUAAUAUUUUUUUUUCUAUUUUCCAUGGAGAUGCCAAACAUUAAAAAAUUAUUUUCCUUAAUAUUGUUUGGGAAUUAAACAUAACCUAAUUACUUAUCAUUGUGUAAAUAGCUUAAGAUACCAAUAAUACUAUUGUUGUUGUGAGAAUAGUUUAAGAUACUAAUAAUACUUCUUAAUAGAUACCAUAUACGUGUGUGGAAUAUUCAUGGUUCAAUAUUGUCACUACCUUACAAUUGUGGACUCCAAUUGAAUAUUAUGUGUUAGCCCAAGGGUUCUCCUAAUCGGGUUUUGAUGAUAACAAACCAUGGUUAAGUGACUAAUUGUUUUAAAUGGUAAAGAAUCUCAGGUAUAAAUUCGGAAAUUCAUCCAAUGACCAAAUGGAUACAAGAUCGAGACUAUUGGAAGUCCCUUGAUCAUAGGAAACAAAUGUAAGAUGAAUGCAUGGGUGCACUUAAGGUUUUCAUACCACUUCAUGCAUCUUUGAAAAACUCGGUUUAUCCUUUAAACUUUCAAAUUCAUUAAAACCCAAGUUUUUAUCAAAUGUACCUUAGACAAAAUGUUUUAAAUUGGCAUAUUAAUUCACCUAAAGACCUUGCCUAAGUAUUAGAAAAGAAAUGAAUUUAAAAAGGUUGGCUUUCAGGGCCAAAAGGCUGAACCGGUCGAGGCUAUGACCAACUGGCUCAACCAGUUGGGGAACCGGUCGACCGGUUGCCCUUGUCCGAUCAAGGUUUGGUUGAGGAGUGUCAAAAACACUCUCUCUCAUCCAGUAGCAUUCUCUUCCCGGUUGAGGUUCACCCCCUUCCCUAUCGAGGUCCGAUCGAGGUUCGGUCGAGGCAACGGUAACCUGUCAAAGCAUUUAAUGCCUAACGGUUAGUGAUCGGGUCGACCCUUAGCUCGAUCGGUCGAGGGUACCUUUUGCUGUUUUUGACUCCCGAGCUUAGAAACCUAUAAAUUGAGAGCUCCACUUCAUUUAUGAAUAGAGAGAACACUUGCAAUCAAUUGUCUACCUACAUGUUCUUGAUCAAAAAGCUCUCAUUUCUUUCUUAGUGCAUUAAAUCAUCACUUGCAUACUCCUUAGUGCACCUUUGUGAGUCAUCCUAGCCUUGUUUUGUAUUUGAUCUAUCUUUGAUCUAGGUUGAGUGUUUCAUUCUUGUAAAAACCAAGUGUUUAAGCCUUCAAGAGGUGUGAUUCUUGAAGAGAUUGUGUAAGAGCCCAUUGGAGCCGGAAUCCAAGUGUAAGAAGAUUAGAAACUUGGUUGAAGCUUCAAGUUAGUGGAACCCUCACUCGGUUAGGAGAUUGAGGAGAGUGGACGUAGGCAAGGAAGUGUCGAACCACUAUAAAACCUGAGUUUGAAUUCUCUAACUCUAUCUCUUUACUUUCGUUUAUAUUGUGCUUGAACUUGUUGUGAUUGAAAAGAUUUUUUAAAAACCCAAUUCACCCCCCUCUUGGGUGUUUUUCUUAAUUAAGCAUAACCUUUAUUUUCUCAUUAUGAAUUAAUGAUGCGAUCUUUCUUCAAACAAAUAUUGUCAGUUAAGUUAAAAUGGUUGAAUUAUUUCAAUAGGUCAAACCUCAAUAUUCCAAAUAUUUCUACUUAGAUUAAUUAAGGUCUUCAUGAGUUGACUUUAAUUCUUUGCUUCUAAAUUUCAUCUCUUAAGGUAUCUUAGAUGCUUCCCUGUUUUACUUAGUCUUGUAAUUGAUUAGGAGAUUAUUGUAGACCAAAUGAUAUGCAAAUUAUUUCUUUUAUAGAUGUUUUUCACUUGCUUUAGAGCUAAGAUUUUAUAAACUAGUUUUUGUCUUCUUUUUUUUUUUAACUUUUUAUUUUCUUAUUCUAGAACACCCCAAAUAUAUAUUGUCAUGAACUUUCAAGGAAUAAAGUCAUUUGGUUUUUAUUGUGUUAUUUUCUUUAAAAGAGAAACUAAAAAGGGAAAGAUCCUAGUAUGUAGUUGAAAUAAAGAAGGAUUUUGGUCUAAAAUUAACAUAAAAAAAUAUUUUGACAAUGUGAUUUUAAAUAUCUUUUAGGCGGUGUUUGGCAAACUAACUUAAUAAUUUAAUAUAAAUUAAUAGCUUAAUUUGUUAUUAAGUAGAUUAACCAUGUUUGGUAAAAUAACAUAAUAUUAUAACAUAAAGUUAGUAUUAAGCCAAAAUAAUCAACUUGAUGAUGUUUGAUAAAUUGAUUUAAUGACUUAAUAUGACUUAAUAACUUAAUUUAAGUCAUUGAAAAGAUUAAGCAUGAUUGGUAAAAUAACUUAAUAUUACAAUUUGAAGUAAUAAUCCAAAAGGGUUAAUUUCAUUGAGACCUUAUGAGGUUUGCUGCAAAUGCACCCGACCAUCAUUGGUUUCAAAUUUCAUCAAUUGGCACAUCUAUAAAUUUAUUUCAUUUAUUUUUUGAGAAAUCUCAGGUAAAACUAUUUUAGAUAUGAGUUUUUAACAAUUCACUAAAACCUAAAUUUUAUUCUUUUAAAAAUAAAAUUUAUAUAUAAAAUACAUUUACAAAGGUGCUAACUAAUGAAAUUUAAAACCUACGGUAAACUUGAAGGAGCCUCAAUAAAAUUAACCUAAGUCAAAAUAGUGAACUUAUUUUUAAUCUCAAAUCCUUUUUACCUUAUUUGCCUAAAUUUAUGAUUUAUUUUUUAUAAUAAAUAUUUUAUGAUUGUAUUAUGCACAAUACUUUAAAUAUGAAUAUUUAAUAAAAAAAUUUAUUAUCUAAGAUUAGUGAAAAUAUAGAUAUUAGUUAAAAUUAAUAGGGGUAAAUAGGUCAAUUUGACAACAUAGAAUAAAUCUUAAAUUAACUUUACCAAAUAAUUUUAAUACUUAAGGAAAAAAAAUAAGUAAUAAAUUUUAAGUUAACAACUUAAGAACCAUUUAACUUAAACUCAACUUAAGUUGUUAAGUAAUAAGUGUUAAGUUUUACCAAAUAAAGCUUUUAAAGGAAUUAUUAAAUCAAAAGACAAAUAUUAAAAUAUAAAAAAUGAGAAAGAAAAAAAAUAUAAAAAGGAACAUGCACAAUGCAAAUAGAACAACAGUGCAAAACAUCUAUUUUUAUUUGUUUUUUUUUUAAAUCUCUCUCCCUCACUCUCUCUCUCUCUCCAAUAACAAAUAUUUAAGAAAAAAAUAUAUGAUGGUACAACAAACUUAAGAUAAUUCAUAACAUCAAUAAUAUAAUACAAAAUUGAUAUAUAGGUCUCUUUUCUUUGUCCUUUUACCUUUUCUACCCCCACACAACCUUUUGGUGCCAUAAAUAUAACUAAAAAAUUAUUUUAAUAUUAAGAUGACAAAAACUAAUAUUUAAAAAAUUAUAGAUUUUCAUCUUUCCCAAGAAAAAUUUGAAAACACGAAAUUUAUGUUUUUAGAUUUCCUAUUUUUAAAACUCUAGUUACUGAAAAAUUGAUUUAUGUUUUCCUUUAUAUAGUUUUCAUUUUUGAAAAGUAUUUUCACUUCUUUUGAUUUAAGACAUUUUCAAGAUAAGAAAAAAAGAAGAAGCUAAUUUUAGAAAAUGAAAAUAAAAUAAAGAGAUUGUGGACCCCGCAUUUUUCACAAUGCGUUCCCACUCGAUGGCGAUUCACUUUUUUAUUUAUUUAGUGAAAAAUUUUGAUUUUUAGAAAAAUACUUGAAGCAUAUUUCACAGGAGCGGGUGAGGGCUUGGUUGACUCAUACACCGUUUGAUUAUCCUAUUCGCCCAUACACCAUGAGCCUAGUUGAUUACUUCGUGAGGGCGUCGGAGCCACUGACCCAAUCAGACGGGAUCAUUGGGGGACUUAGUACCACUCAGGAGGCCGAGCUUCAGCACCUCGUUCGCCAACUACAUUUGAGUGAUGGAGCCCCUGGUACUUCAUCAUCUGUGUAGACCGCCCAUGCCUCUCCAGACCGCAUAAGCCUUAUGAUGCUCUAUUUCCCUGAUGAGAUCAACGAGCACGGGACAUUUGCUGAGGUAGGAAAUAUAGUAGAUGGAGCCACCCCACAUGAUGAGUACGUCGAUGAGAUGCUCGCAAUGAUCUUAGGUCAAAUCGAGGAUGUAGUUCAGCCGAGGCUCGCCUCACCGUUCGAUCUUUUCGAGGUGUCCAUCAUCGAGAUUGCUGAGGAGAUCCGGACUUCCCCUGCUCCAGAGUCUGCUGAGGAUGUCAUAGCUAGUGAUGAUUUGUCUGAUGGACAUGUUGGCUUUGUUGAGGGAGCGUCCAACUUUGUAGACCCACCUAUUUCCUUUGAUGUUUUAUAGGGAUUUGUCUCCCGUUUUGACGAUGUUCAUGACUCUUUAUUUAUGGAUUUGAGCAUUUUCGAGUAUCUGCCUAUCUCUUGUGAUAUUAUUUUAUCUGCACCAUCUUCACCCACGUCACAGAUAUUUGACAUUGAUGAUGAGAUUGUGCAACAUGAUUCAGACGAUGACUCAUUCUUCGUUUUCGAUUCGGAUCCCAUUGAUCAGAGAGUUGCACCUGUCCCAAGGGACACGGAGGUUGUUGAUUUCGACACAGCAGACCAACCUAGGGAGUUGAGGAUCGGGUCGGAUUUGUCUACAGAUCAGAAAGAUAGCCUCACCCAACUGCUCAUAUCAUACUUGGACAUUUUCGUAUGAUCCUAUGACGACAUGCUGGGCCUUGAUCCAUUUAUUGUCUAGCAUCGUUUGUCAUUUCUGCCCCAUGCCAGACCGGUUAAGCAGAAGUUGAGACGAUUGCACCCUCGUUGGAGCUUGCAAGUGAAUGAGGAGAUUCAAAAGCAGCUUAGUGUGGGAUUUCUAUCAGUGGUCGAGUACCCGGAGUGGAUGGCCAAUGUAGUCCCUAUUCCCAAAAAGGACUGCAAGGUGAGAGUCUGUACAUUGACAUGCUAAGGAUCCGAGAUCUCAAUAAGGCCAGUCCUAAGGAUGAUUUUCCUCUCCCGUACAUUGACAUGCUAGUUGACAGUACAGUAGGUCACUCGAUGUUGUCCUUUAUGGACAGAUUUUUCGGGUACAGUAAGAUCUUGAUGGCUCCAGAGGAUAUGGAGAAGACGUCCUUCAUUACCGAGUGGGGUACUUAUUGCUAUAGAGUUAUGCCAUUCGAAUUGAAGAACGCAAGAGACACCUAUCAGAGAGCAGCAACCACCCUCUUCCAUGACAUGAUACAUCGGGAUGUCGAGGUUUAUGUAGACGACAUGAUAGUGAAAUCCUGAGAUAGAUCAGAUAAUCUAAUAGCUCUAGAAAGAUUCUUUGAGAGGAUCAGGCAGUUCAGGUUGAGACUAAAACCCAAAAAAUGCACUUUUGGAGUGACUUCUGGGAAACUCUUGGGAUAUAUGGUCAGUGAGAGAGGCAUAGAGGUAGAUCUGGAUAAGAUCAGAGCCAUCCUUGACAUGCCUACACCGAGGACAGAGAGAGAGGUCAGAGGCUUCUUGGGUAGACUUCAGUAUAUCAGCAGAUUCAUUGCUAGAUUGACAGACAUCUGUGAGCCCAUUUUUCGACUCUUGAGGAAGAGACAACCUGUUGUUUGGGAUGAUCAAUGUCAACGCGCGUUUGAGAGGAUCAGAGAGUACUUGUUGUCUCCUCCAGUCUUGGCGCCUCCUACACCAGGUUGUCCUUUACUCCUAUACCUAUCCAUCUCAAACGUAGCAUUGGGUUGCAUGUUGGCUUGCUCGAUGAUUUGGGCAAAGACUGAGCCAUUUAUUAUCUGAGUAAGAGGAUGCUAGAUUAUGAGAUGAGAUAUGCCAUGAUUGAGAGCUAUUGCUUGGCAUUGCUUUGGGUCACUCACCGACUGAGACAUUACAUGACCGAGUAUUUAGUACAUUUGAUAUCCUGUUUAGAUCCUUUAAGAUACUUGUUUGACAGACCCGCCUUGGUUGGUCGCCUCAUGAGAUGGUUGGUACUUCUGACUGAGUUUGACAUCCAUUAUGUCACUCAAAAGUCCAUCAGAGGGAGCAUUAUUGUAGAUCACUUAGCCUCAUUACCAGUUUCUGAUGGUAUAGCUAUUGAUGAUGAUUUUCUAGACAAGGAUGUUGCUGCUGUGACUAGUCUAUCAGGUUGGUGCAUGUACUUUGAUGGUACAACCAACCAUUCUAGAUACGGGAUAGGCGUCUUGUUGAUAUCCCUUAUGGUGAUCACAUUCCCAGAUCUGUUCGUUUGACAUUCUCAGAUCGACAUCCGGCCACGAACAACAUUGUUGAGUAUGAAGCCUAUAUCUUGGGAUUAGAGACAGCCAUUGAGCCUAGGAUUAGACAGAUGGAGGUGUUUGGCGACUCCAAUCUGGUAUUGAGAUAGAUUCAGGGUGAGUGGAAGACUAGAGAUGCGAAGCUUAGGCCCUAUCACUAUGUUUGGUUCCAAGGAAGAAAAAUCCUCAUGAAAAGGAUUUUCUCAUGAAAAAAUCCAAGAAAUUAUGAAGGAGCAUGAAUAUGAUUCUUAGAAAUCAAACACAACCUCGUGAAAUAUACUUGCAUUAAUAAUUAUAUUAUUUGUUUGUUGUACUAUAUUUAUGAAAUUGAAAUCUUGCUUUUUAUAAUUUAUCUUUAGGUGGAAACCCCAAGGACAAUGAGAAGAGGUUAAUUUCAAGAUGCAAGUGAGAUUCUGAAUGUUGCAUUAACAACAUUGUUGAGUAUGAGGCCUAUAUCUUGGGAUUAGAGAUAGCCAUUGAGCCCGGGAUUAGACGGAUGGAGGUGUUUGGCGACUCUAAUCUAGUAUUGAGACAGAUUCAGGGUGAGUGGAAGACUAGAGAUGCGAAGCUUAGGCCCUAUCACUAUGUUUGGUUCCAAGGAAGAAAAAUCCUCAUGAAAAGGAUUUUCUCAUGAAAAAAUCCAAGAAAUUAUGAAGGACCAUGAAAAUGAUUCUUGGAAAUCAAACACAACCUCGUGAAAUAUACUUGCAUUAAUAAUUAUAUUAUUUGUUUGUUGUACUAUAUUUAUGAAAUUGAAAUCUUGCUUUUUAUAAUUUAUCUUUAGGUGGAAACCCCAAGGACAAUGAGAAGAAGUUAAUUUCAAGAUGCAAGUGAGAUUCUAAAUGUUGCUAAGGUGGUCCACUCUUGCAUAUGAAGUUAAUCUCAAGAUGCAAGUGAGAUUCUUAAUGUUGCUAAGGUGGUCUACUCUUACAUAUGAUUAGUCUCGCUAACGUUCAUGACCAUAAGGAAAGAUGCUACAUUGAAAGUGUGAAUUCGGAAUGUUGAAAAAUGAAAACUUGAAUUGAUAUAUGUUUUUGCCUAUAAGAUGUGUGGUUAUAAGCAAUUUUUGUGGGUAUGUAAUUAACCUUAAUGUUGCAUAUGAAGCAUAUCACCCUCUAUAUAUCUUUUUAACUGGUUGGAGCUCUUAUAGAAGGUGAAAGGCAAGUGUCACAGAUUUAAGUAUUUCCGAAACUCUCAUGCGGUACUUAGAUAAUUCAAGUCGCUUGAAAUUACUAAGUCCUUUAGGUUGUGAAAAAGGUCUUUAUCACAUUUCGCACAUAUUAUGACCAUCACAUUUUAACUCAAAUGUUUAUUUUAAAAUACUUUUGCAUUGAACUCCUUUCCAAAAGCAUUAAAUUAAUACCAUUCUCUAAUCUUCCAUGGCUUGGUUUGUCAACUUCAGGUCAUUACCCUCUAGAGCCAACUUUCAACUUAAUCAAUCCAACACAAUUGUUAUUGAUUCAUGGUCAAUUAACAAAUUCUCUAAUGUUAUGAUUGGUUUUUGAAAAUUUUGAUGAAAAGAAAAUAAAGAGAAAAAAAUAUAAGAAAAGGAAAUAUGAAGGAAUAUAAAAAUUUAUAUUUAAAGUUAAUAAAUUAUUCUUAUUUUUUAUUAUAAACCCAUUUCACAUACAUAUAAUUUUAAUAAUAUUUAAUUUUUUUUUCUAUUUCCAUGGAGAUGCCAAACAUUAAAAAAUUAUUUUCCUUAAUAUUGUUUGGGAAUUAAACAUAACCUAAUUACUUAUCAUUGUGCAAAUAGCUUAAGAUACCAAUAAUAUUAUUGUUGUUGUGAGAAUAGUUUAAGAUACUAAUAAUACUUCUUAAUAGAUACCGUAUACGUGUGUGGAAUAUUCAUGGUUCAAUAUUGUCACUACCUUACAAUUGUGGACUCCAAUUGAAUAUUAUGCAUUAAUGAUGUGAUCUUUCUUCAAACAAAUAUUGUCAAUUAAGUUAAAAUGGUUGAAUUAUUUCAAUAGGUCAGACCUCAAUAUUCCAAAUAUUUCUACUUAGAUUUAUUAGGGUCUUCAUGAGUUGACUUUAAUCCUUUGCUUCUAAAUUUCAUCUAUUAAGGUAUCUUAGAUGCUUCCCUGUUUUACUUAGUCUUGUAAUUGAUUAGGAGAUUAUUGUAGACCAAAUGAUAUGCAAAGUAUUUCUUUUAUAGAUGUUUUUUUCACUUGCUUUAGAGCUAAGAUUUUAUAAACUAGUUUUUGUCUCUCUUUUUUUAACUUUUUAUUUUCUUAUUCUAGAACACCCCAAUUAUAUCUUGUCAUGAACUUUCAAGGAAUAAAGUCAUUUGAUUUUGAUUGUGUUAUUUUCUUUAAAAGAGAAACUAAAAAGAGAAAUAUCCUCCUAGUAUGUAGUUGAAAUAAAGGAGGAUUUUGGUCUAAAAUUAACAUAAAAAUAAAAAUAAAAAUUGACAAUGUGAUUUUAAAUAUCUUUUAGGCAGUGUUUGGUAAACUAACUUAAUAAUUUAAUGUAACUUAAUAGCUUAAUUUGUUUUUAAUUAGAUUAACCAUAUUUGGUAAAAUAACAUAAUAUUAUAACAUAAAGUUAGUAUUAAGCCAAAAUAAUCAACUUGAGGAUGUUUGAUAAAUCGAUUUAAUGAUUUAAUAACUUAAUUUAAGUCAUUGAAAAGAUUAAGCAUGGUUGGUAAAAUAACUUAAUAUUACAAUUUAAAGUAAUAAUCCAAAAGGGUUAAUUUCAUUGAAACCCCAUGAGGUUUGCUGCAAAUACACCCGACCAUCAUUGGUUUCAAAUUUCAGCAAUUAGCACACCUAUAAAUUUAUUUCAUUUAUAAAAUUUAUCUUUUGAGAAAUCUCAGGUAAAACUAUUUUAGAUAUGAGUUUUUAAUAAUUCACUAAAACCUAAAUUUUAUUCUCUAAAAAAUAAAAUUUAUAUAUAAAAUACAUUUACAAGGGUGCUAACUGACGAAAUUUGAAACCUACGGUAAACCUGAAGGAGCCUCACUAAAUUUAACCUAAGUCAAAAUAGUGAACUUAUUUUUAAUCUCAAAUCUCACCUUAUUUGCCUACAUUUAUGAUUCAUUUUUUAUAAUAAAUAUUUUAUGAUUGUAUUAUGUACAAUACUUUAAAUAUGAAUAUUUAAUAAUUUUUUUUUAUUAUUUAAGAUUAGUGAAAAUAUAGUUAUUAGUUAAAAUUAAUAGGGGUAAAUAAGUCAAUUUGACAACUUAGAAUAAAUCUUAAAUUAACUUUACCAAAUAAUUUUAAUACUUAAAAAAAAAAGUAAUAAGUUAACAACUUAAGAACUAUUUAACUUAAAGUCAACUUAAGUCAUUAAGUAAUAAGUGUUAAGUUUUACCAAAUAAAGCUUUUAAAGGAAUUAUUAAAUCAAAAGACAAAUAUUAAAAUAUAAAAAAUGAGAAAGAAAAAAAAUAUAAAAAGGAACAUGCACAACGCAAAUAGAACAAUAGUGCAAAACAUCUCUUUUUAUUUGUUUUUUUAAAUCUCUCUCUCUCUCUCUCUCUCUCUCCAACAACAAAUAUUUAAGAAAAAAAUUAUUGGAUGGUACAACAAACUUAAGAUAAUUUAUAACAUCAAUAAUAUAAUACGAAAUUAAUAUAUAGGUCUCUUUUCUUUGUCCUUUUACCUUUUCUACCCCAACACAACCCUUUUGGUGCCAUAAAUAUAACUAAAAAAUUAUUUUAAUAUUAAGAUGACAUAAACUAAUAUUUAAACAAUUAUAGAUUUUCAUCUUUCUUAAGAAAAAUUUGAAAACAAGAAAUUUAUGUUUUCAUAUUUUCUAUUUUUAAAACCCUAGUUACUAAAAAAUUGAUUUAUGUUUUCCUUUUUAUAGUUUUCAUUUUUGAAAAACUAUUUUCACUUCUUUUGAUUUAAGACAUUUUCAAGAUAAGGAAAAAAGAAGAAACUAAUUUUAGAAAAUGAAAAUAAAAUAAAGACAUUAUGAACCUUGUAUUUUUCACGAUGCAUUCCCACUCAAUGACGACUCGCUUUUUUUAUUUGUUUGGUGAAAAAAAAUUGAUUUUUAGAAAAAGACUUGGAGUCACCACUUAUUUAAUUUUUUUUUAAAAGGGAAAAACAACAUAAGAAAGAAAAACCCUAAUUGUGACUCUUGAAGGAAAAACAAGUUUAUAAAAAACCAAAUCUGGGCUCGAGGGUCAGGUUACUUAUUGGGAAGGUACGAUAAAGAUCGUAGCACCCCUCUAAGUCCCUAAAAACAGGUCUCUACUAAUGAGAUGAAACAAACAUGACAAUUGGUAAGUAAAUCAAUGGAUACCAAAAUGAAAUAAUCAAAUAGUAAAGCGAAUCAUGCAUAAGAAUAAGCAAAGUGGGAAUGAGAUCGUACCUUAGGAGCAAUUAAUAAUGCAAUAUUAUGGAAACAAGGUUAGCUCAAGUAUAAAAUCAUCACAAACAUAUCAAAAAGCAAGACAAAGAUCAAACAAUACUCAUUAAGCAUAAUAGCUGACAAUUAGAAGAAAAAACUCAUAUGUAGGGCCCCUCACCAAAGCGCAAUUUAUUUUGCAUGAAUUAAUAUCACAAAUUCCACUAUUUUGGAAUCAUGAAAAAUUCAUUCAUACUUGUUAAAAAAAAAAAUCAAGAAAACGAAAGAUUAUUUGAAAAUCGAAGAAAAUUUGUGAAUUUAAAAAAAUUGAAAAAUGGAAUGGAAUUAAAACUAUUUGAAAGAAAAUUGGAGUUUUGAAUUAUUUGAAAAUUGAGUCUCGAAAAUUAUUUGAAAAUUGGGGUUUUGAAAAUUAAAUUUAAGAAUUGGAAUUUUGAAAAUUAUUUGACAAUUGGAAUUUUGAGAAUUAAAUUUAAGAAUUAGAAUGUUCGAAAUUAAAUUUUGAAAGAAAUUUGAAUUAUUUGAGGAUUUGAGUUUGAAAUUGGAAUUAUUUGAGGAUUAAAGUUUUGAAAAUUACAUUAAGGAAUUGAAACUUUGGAAACUAAAUUUGAAAUAAAUUAGAAUUUUGAAAAUUAUUUGAGAAUUGGAACUAUGAAAAUUAAAUUAUGAAAAUUGGAAUCUUGGAAAUUAUUUGAAGAUGUAGUUUUUAAAAAUAAAUAAAUAAAAUGAUGAUGACAAUAAUAAUAAUAAUAAUAAAUAAAUGUGAAAAUUGGAAUUUUAGAAAUUGGAAAUUAAAUUUGGAAAUCGGAAUUUUGAAGAAUUAUUUAAAGAUGAAAGUUUUAAAAAUAAACAAAUAAACAAAAUAAUAAUAAUAACGAAAAUAAUGAUGAUUAAAUAAAUAAAUGUGAAAAUUGGAAUUUUGGAAAUUGAAAAUUAAAUUCGGAAAUUGGAAAAUUGGAAUUUCAGAAAUUGAGAAUUAAAUUUGGAAAUUGGAAUUUUGAAGAAUUAUUUAAAGAUGAAAGUUUUAAAAAUAAAUAAAUAAACAAAUAAACAAAAUAAUAAUAAUAACGAAAAUAAUGAUGAUUAAAUAAAUAAAUGUGAAAAUUGGAAUUUUUGAAAUUGAAAAUUGAAUUCGGAAAUUGGAAAAUUGGAAUUUCAGAAAUUGAAAAUUAAAUUUAGAAAUUGGAAUUUUGAAGAAUUAUUUAAAGAUGAAAGUUUUAAAAAUAAAUAAAUAAACAAAAUGAUAAUAAUAACGAAAAUAAUGAUGAUUAAAUAAACAAAUGUGAAAAUUGGAAUUUUGGAAAUUAAAAAAUAAAUUCGGAAAUUUGAAAAUUGGAAUUUCAGAAAUUGAGAAUUAAAUUUGGAAAUCGGAAUUUUUUGAAAUUUUAUUUGAAUAUGGUAUUUCGAAAAAUUAAAUUUUGAAUAUUGAAAUCUGGAAAAUUAUUUUGAGGAAUUAUUUUAAAAAGUAAAUUUGAGAAUAGAAUUUUGGAAUAUUAAAUUUAAAAAAUCGGAAUGUUAGAAAAUUAUUUUGAUAAUGGAAUUUCAGAAAACUAAAUUUCGAAAAUUGGAAUGUUAAAAAAUUAUUCCAAUAUCAAAAUGUGAAGAAAUAAUAAAGAAAGAUGGGUUAUGGUGAUUCUUAGAGCAAAAUUUAUCCAUGUGUUCAAGGUGACAACUAACCCAUUCCAUGUGCUGCCAGCACACCAAAGAAUACCACAAGCCUAUUUCCCAUAUUACAAUAAUGUCAUACAAACCCAUUUUCCAUGUACUACUUGAGAGCAUCACAAACCCAUUUUUUUACAUGAAAAACAAACACCACAUACUACCACCUCUCCACCCAAUCGCCAUUCUCACUACCAUGCACAUGGAGCUUCCAUUUGUUUCAAACUUCUCCCACACCCUCCAUAUUUCUGCACCCCUAUUCCUACCACAUGUUGCCUCUGUCAAGAAGUUAACAACUUGUUUAACAACUUAACAAGUUGUUUAAGUAGUUAACAGUCUGGUUGUUGUAACUAAUUAGAAAGUGGUUAAUAACUGUUUUUUAGAUUCUUGUAUAUAAGAAACAGAGGACCUAACAGUGGGUAGUUUUGCAGUAGCUCAAUUUCAGUUUUUCAUCUUUCUGGUUUUCUCUCAAACAGAUGCUCUGCACAUCUCAUUCUUCAUAUCUCUGAGUUCUUUCUUGGUAUCAGAGCCACAAACUAACAUAUGCAAAUCCUUUUCCAUGGCAUCAAAAGGAUCAGCUUCUUCCACGGAUCAUCCUAACUCCAGUUUUGCUCAUCAUACAAUGCCAUAAUUGAAUCAAGCAUUCACGGUAAGACUCGAUCAAUCAAAUUACUUACUGUGGCGAACUCAGAUGCUGAACAUCAUCAUUGCAAAUGGUCUUGAAGAAAUGAUCCAUGGCAAAAUCCCUGCUCCUUCACGAUUUCUUGGAGAUUCAGAGAACAUAAAUUCAGAAUACAGUAUAUGGCAACGUCAGAAUCGCUUAGUAAUGUGUUGGAUCUAUUCUUCUUUGACAGAAGGUGUGAUGGCACAGAUUAUCGACCUUGAUACUGCAUCAGAAAUCUGGACUGCUCUAGAGAAAAUUUUCUCAGCAGCUUCAAAGGCUCGUAUCAUGCAGUUUCGUUUCCAAUUGUAGAUAACAAAGAAAGGAGGAUUGAGUAUGAUGGAAUAUCUACUCAAAAUCAAGUCCAUUGUAGAUAACCUGCUAGCAAUUAGAGAAAACAUUACAGAGCAAGACCGAAUUCUCUAUUUACUUGCAAGACUCGGAGCAGAGUACAAUUCGUUUGUCAUUACAGUUACCUCUGGGCAUGAACCAUUAAGCCUAGAAGAAAUUCACAGCAUGCUCUUGACUCAUGAAAAUCGAUUGGAACAACAACACACAACAGAAGAAACAAAUCUCCUGCAAGCAAAUAUUACAACAAUGAACAUUCAAGGACACAACAAAAAAAAUCAAAAGUCUGGUCAAUUCAAGACUCAAGGUAGAGGCAAUCAGAAUCAACAACAAUUUAAUCAUCAGAACUUUGGUAGAGGCCGUGGGAGAGGCCACUAUAACAACAAUGGUGGAAAUUUUGGACAUGGUCCAGGAAGAGGUAGCUUUAACAACCAUUCUUACUCAUCUGGAAACUUCAAUAAUGUUUCUGGUGGCAGCAAUGGAAAACCACAGUGCCAAGUAUGUGGUAAAUAUGGUCACAUUGCAAUUAAUUGCUAUCAUAGAUUUGAUCAAACUUAUCAACCAACAAUGAGCAAUCAUCUUGCUGCAAUGGUUGCAACUCCGUCCACUGUUGGAGAUGAAAGCUGGUACAUGGAUACCGGAGCUACGCAUCACCUAACUCCAAAUCUCAACAAAUUGAAUUCACAUACUCCAUUUGCUGGUUCAGACAAAGUCAUGGUUGGAAAUGGUAAUCGUUUAAAUAUCUCAAAUAUUGGACACUCCACUAUUUCUUCAACUUCUCGGUCUUUAAAUCUAAAAAAUAUUUUACAUGUUCCACAACUUACAACCAAUCUGAUAAGUGUGAAUAGGUUGUGUACUGACAAUAAUGUCACUGUGGAAUUCUUUACUAAUGGAUUUGUGGUGAAGGAUUAAGCUUUGAAGAAGGCUCUUCUCCAAGGCAACCUUAACUAUGGCUUAUACAAACUGUCGUCUUCAGCACCUAGUAGAAGAUAUCAAGAUCCUGAUGAUAAUAAACUUGCUGGAAGAACAAGCUUGACAACUGAGGUCCCAUGUAUGUCAUCUACAUUACAACUUUCCAAUAAGGCAGAUCUAUGGCAUUUCAGGUUAGGCCAUCUUGCACGUAAAAUAGUCAAUAAAGUUCUGAGUGCUUGUAGCUUGCCCCUAGAACAUUGGACAGGUGUUUGUGAACCUUGUCAAAUGGCAAAGAGCCAUCGCCUACCUUUUACUUUGUCUGAAUCCAGAGCAUCUCAGCCUUUUGCUCUUGUACAUUCUGAUCUAUGGGGUCCUGCUCCUGUUGUUGGUACUAAUGGUGCAAGAUACUUUGUGCUCUUUGUGGAUGAUCAUACAAGAUUUUCUUGGUUGUAUCUACUAGCUUCUAAAGAUCAAGCUAUCUCUGCAUUUUUGCAAUUUAAAGUGAUGAUUGAGACUCAAUUUGAUACUAAAGUUAGAAUGCUUCAAACUGAUUGGGGAGGAGAGUUUCAAGCCUUUACUAAUACUUUGUGUAAGUUUGGGAU
Molecule: long non-coding RNA, 55475 nt
Filed under: Vitis vinifera (wine grape)
Lineage: Eukaryota; Viridiplantae; Streptophyta; Magnoliopsida; Vitales; Vitaceae
Description: long non-coding RNA (VVIN_LNC003859)
Source: RNAcentral